UUUGAUAUUGUUAUUUUUCAAAAAUUGAUAAUCUUACAAUAGAAGUUUAGCAAAUUGUUUGUUAGAGUUACAUACAACAAUAAAGGCAUAAUUAAAGGAAGCUCAAAAAUAAAAAAAGAUCAAUGUAGAUGCCUAUUACAAGGAAUAGUCAUAAUUCAAUAUAAGUAAUAAGAUAUGGCUACUUUGUCACAAUAUUAAGACUAGUUGUCUUUGUGGCAAGUUGGACUAUUAUAGGCUUGUACCUUUUUCUAUUAGUGAACAAGUCAAUUUUGUUACUUAUUGAUUGUAUUUACCACAAUCUAUGAAGAUCCAUCCCAUAUUUCAUGUGUCUCUUUUUGAGCCAUAUAAGACAAUGAAUAUCUCAAAAAAAAGACAAAUGCCACUUCUUCUUAUUGAAAUAGAUAAUAAUCAAGAAUUUGAGAUGGAAGAAGUUUUAAAUUGAAGGCAAUGCCAAAAUAGGUUAAAAUAUCUUAUUUAUUGAUAUGGAUAUGAUAUUAGUAAAUAUAUAUGGAAGGAAGCAAAGAAUCUUACAAAUGCAAUAAAGAAGAUUGAGUUCUUUUAUCAAUGAUAUCCAUCAAAAUCAAGAUGAUGAAUAGAAAAUCUUUACUAUAAAAGAAAUAAGAUUUAGAAAAGAUAGCAUUCUACCUUCUACUCUUAUUUGUAAUUUUUAUGUAUUUAUUAUACUAUAGAGAUAGAGAACCAAUAACUUACAUAUUUAGUUCAAGAGCUAUUAUUUUCUUACUUAACAAAUGAAACAUUGUAAUUGUCACAACCUUCAAGAGAAUAUAAUCAAGAUGAAGAUUUUCAAGAACAACAUGUAUUUCCUCAAAUAGGUGGUGAGAUAUAAUGUAUUUGAUAUGACGACCUUAGAAGAGACUCCCAAUGUUUGGUGAUUUUAUUAGAGGUAGGAAUGACUCUUGAUGGUGUUUUAAAUAUUUUAUUUGAAAAAAGUUAUAUAGGUGUCAACAACAAUGAAAUAACAAGGUGGUCUUCUCAUCCUAAUAUAAGAUACUAUUAAUGGUUGAGAAGAAUUAUUAAUCAUCUUUACAGAGAAUAAAGAUUAGAAUAUAUAGCAAACAUAUUUGCCACAUCUUGAAAUUCCUCAAUAUAUGAUAAUUGUUUCUUAUAAAACUUGUCUUUAGAAGAAGGAGUAAUAUCACAGACAUAUAUAUUUAUCCUAAUAAUUAUCUAUAAUAUUAAUUAAAAGUAUAUGAAUAUAAAUUUAUUUCAUACUAUUUUCUAAAGAAGUUUUUUGAAGCUUCAUAGAUAUUACUUUGACUUUACAAGUGUUUGUAGUUGAUUGAUAGAUUAGAAACUUUAUCAAUAAAUUAAUUACAUGUUAGUAGCUUAUAAAAUAAGCUAAUUAUGUAGCAUACAUAUAAAAAAUUUGCCUUACAAGUUAAGAUAUGUAUCUUGUAAAAUCAACACGUUUUAGAGGCCUUAUAAGAUAUCACCACAUUAUUGUAUUAUGUGUAUUCUUGCUUGAGAAUGCACCAGAUGCCUAAUUAAGGAAGGUAAGUAGAAAUACAAAAACAAUCCUAAUAAGUCUAAUAGAAUCUUAAAUGACCUUAGAUAAACCUUAAUAAUUCAAGUCGAACUUUGAUCAAUCAAAAAUAAAUUUAAAAGAAGUUAUAAAAGAAAUACAAAGAAGUUCCAAAUUAAUUUCAAAGAAAAAUCAUAAGAAAUUUUAAAGAAAUAUAAAAAUAAACCUUAAAAGAAAUAAUAAUAAUAUUAAUAAAAUAAUAGAAAUAGAAACCUUUAAAGAAAUAAUAAAUAAAUCUUUUAAAAUAUUAAAAAUAAAAACCUUAAUGUAAUCCUAAUUGAAAUUCUAAUUGAAUCUUAAUCAAAUCUUAGAUCAAAUCUUAAUUGAAUUUUAAUAAAAUCCUAGGUCAAAUCCUAAGUCAAAUCGUAAUUGAAACCUGAAUGAAAUUUUAAAUUCUAAAAAAAUCCUACACUAGUUCUAAACUAAAUCCUAAGAAAAUCCUAGAUCAAAUCCAAAACCAAUCCUAAUCAAACCCUAGAUUUUAAUCAAACUCUUAACAAAGUCUAUAGCAAAUGGAACCUCAAAAACUAAUAAUCAAAUCAUUGAUAUCAACUGAAAUUUUGCAUAUUUUUUAAUAUCUCAAUUAAAAACAAUCACAAGAAAGAUGAAACCAAUUGCAAUUACAUAUUGAGAGAAAAAUAAGAUAAUCCAAUCAAGUAUUAAGUGGCUUCUUAUUCCAAUCUAAAUACUAAACUUCUAGUGCCAAUAUCUCUUUCUUGAACCAUUGAAUUGCUUCUUAAUUUCACCUAAAAUAUUGAAAAUCAAGUCGUAUAUUUAUAUAAAAAAAAUUCACUUCAAUCCAAUUGAUAGAUCAUUGGCAAUCAUAGAAAUACUCAUUGAUCUUCAAACUCUAAGACCUUAAUCCACAAAAACCUUCACACUUUGAUCUAACUAUUUCAUUGACCUUAAAAUUUGCAUACAAAGUAAUAAUUGGAACAUCAAUAAACUUUCCAAAAUUCAUCCAUAGUCACACCACAAAACUCAAGAAACUCUCAAAUUUAUAAAUAUAUUUUUAUUUCUCCAAAAUCUUAAGUAAUUAAAAAUAUCACUAACUUCAAAAUCCGUCAAAAAUUCAAUAGUGACUUAAUUGAUCUAAAACCAAUGCUCAAAAAUCUUUCUUCUAGUUUGUUAUCAAAUUCCACUCUUUUAUAUACCAAGGAACCUUAGAUUCAUUGUAGAUUUGUAGUUUUAUACCUUAAGAUCUAAUUUUAACCUAUAUUAAUAACUAUUCUCUUUAGAUAUCAAGUUUUAGCUUUUUGAGGUAAAUUUUGCUAAAAUCUACAUUUAAUUCUUUUUUAUAUAUGCUUAGAUCAUUUUUUAUUUCAUUUACUUUGAUUUGGUUCAUUUAUGCCUCUACAAAGUAAAUAAAAGUUCCUUCUAUAAAAAAGCAACAUUAAAACUAAAUCUUUUAUUACCUUUCUAUCAUUUAUUUUUAUUUUUUUAUUACAUCUUUUUGUUAGACUCUUCUAUAAUAACAUCCAUAUUUUUAUUUUUCAUUAUAUAGUUGUGUUACCACAUAACAACAUAACUCCUAGUUAAGAGUAUAUAUAUAAACAAGAGUAAAGUCUUCUUUAUUCUUAUAAAUUCCUUUCUAGUCUUUAGUCUUGUUUCAAGACUUUUUAAUCUUUUUGUCUUUAGCAAUAACUAUUAAAAUUUAAUACUAUAUCAUCUAUGAGUGAUUUUCUAGUCUUUUUGAAUGACACAAGAAUAUAUUGACAUUUUAGUUCUUUAAGGUUCAUGUCUUUGAUACUGGCUCAAAAAUAUUAAAACUUGCACCCAAGAAUUGUGUAGUUGAUUAAUAUUAUUUUGCUUAUUGUUAGCCAUAUUGAUAGCAAUAUAACUUGUGUUAUAUCUUUACAAGUUAUGAUGGAUUUUGGUGCCUAAUUAAUUAUUAUUAAUAAGUGACUUGUCUAAGAAUGAAGUCUUAAUGCUACUAAUCUAAAGUCUUGUCUUUUUACCGUUGUUACUUUUAUAGGAGAUACAAAAUAAUCUAUUGGGUAUAUAAAUCAUCUAUUAUAAAAUAAUUUUUUAUACUAAACUUUGAACCACUUUAUUUACACUUGUUUCUAAAGUGUAUAGUAAUUAGUGUUACCAACUAUGAUAUUUUAAUUAGUCAAUAUGUACUUCAUGCUUUUGGUUUUGAUUUAGAUAAGUGGACCAAAGCAAAAUAAAUUAGAUUGGAGUAGUCUAUUUGUAAUAGAAAGAAGGAAUUUAUUCCUAUUACAUUUGUAGCAAUUAUUAUGAUUAUGUUGACAAAAAUCCUAUUUGAUUUUAGUACAUUGGCAUCAAAUUUGUCUAGUCAACAAGUUUUAUUAAUAGAUACAUUAGCAUUUAUGUCCAAUGUUAUAGAAUCACAUAAUUUAUUUUCUUUAGAAAUUUAUAUAAGACAUUACAAAGAUCCAUCUAUCUAAUAUAAAACAUAUUAUAUAAUAUAAAGAAGUAAAUAUAUAAUUAUGUGGAUAUAUUAUUACGCUUACAAAGUAAACAAAUUAAAUAAUAUAUUAUAAAUAAUCUUUUUUGAAGCUUUAUAAAUAAAAAAUUUAACUUUAUAAAUAUUUAUAGAUAAUUAAUAGGUUAAAAAUUAGACUAAUAAGUUAGCCAUACAACAUAUAUUUGAGAAAUUUGUCGUGCAAGUUUUUUAAGUAUAUUAUGUAAAUUAAGCAUGUCUUAGAUGACUUAUAAAACAUUAUCAUUUAGGUCUUUAGAUAGAUAGAUAGGUCUUUAUAUAUAUAUAUAUAUAUAAGAGUAAGGCCCUCUUUACUCUUAUCAACACAUUUUUUGUAUUUUUGGCUUAGUUUAAAAAUAUCUAGUGUCUUUGUAUUUAGCAAUAGUCAUUCUAGUCUCUAUCUUAUAUCUAACUUUGAUUGAUUUAUUUAUUUUUUUGAGUCUCAUAAGAAUGUAUUGCUUUUUUAGAUUUUUGUUAUGAUUCAUGUUAUGAUUCAUGUCAUUUAUACAAUUUCAUUAAAAAAAUCAGCCAAAUUUUAGUCAAAAAUAUCUUUUUAGUACUUUUAUGAUAAUUCUUUUAUUAUAUAUAUAUAUAUAUAUAUAUAUAUAUAUACAUAGAAAUAUUAAUAAUUAUUUUUUAUUAUAGUUUUUUAAAAAUAUAUAUAUAUAUAUAUAUAUAUAUAUAUACACAUAGAAAUAUUAAUAAUUAUUUUUUAUUAUAGUUUUUUAAAAAUAUAUAUAUAUAUAUAUAUAUAUAUAUACACAUAGAAAUAUUAAUAAUUAUUUUUUAUUAUAGUUUUUUAAAAAUAUAUAUAUAUAUAUAUAUAUAUAUAUAUAUAUGUCAAAUAGUGGCUUGUUAUAGUGAUAGUAGUAAAAACUAUGGUGGCAUGAGCAACAACCUAUUCUAAUUGCCUUUACCAUAUCUAAAAGUAACAAUAAAAUUUAAAAAUAUAUAUAUAUAUAUAUAUAAAACUAUUAUAGAUAUAAAUAUAAAUACUAUGUAAUUUACUUGAAACACUUGUGUCUUCUAUGUCUUGUCAUAUAAUUUCAAAUCCUUUGGUUAUUUACAACUUCUAAAUGUCCAUUAAACCACAUUAUUCUAUCCUUAUUAAUAAUGGCUAAGUUUCUUUGAUUUUGUAAAAUAUAUAUCUAACUUGCAUUGUGACAUUUUUAGUUUCUUUGUUUGUCAUCCAUGCAUAUUGGUUAGAUGCCUCAAAAUUUAUAAGCUUUUUAUUGAUAGACAACAAAUUGGUGAUAAUGCCUAAAAUAUUUUAAAGAGAAGUACAAAAUGAAAAUUUUGAGAUUUAAUACUACACACAAAAUAAUUUCUAAGCAAUUGAAGAGAGUUAAAUAAUUAGAAUUUAUUAAAAUAUUUUGGUACAAGGGACCAUUUGGAAUUUCUAUUCAUCCGGUACCAAGUACAAACUAGAUACUAAUUUUCCUACAGCCAAGUUUCUUGCCAUGUAUACACAAACUCUCAUCCUAAAAUCUAAAAUAAUAGAUGUUGCUUAUUACUUAAUGGCAUCCUUCUCUUGAUUUUUUUAGUGCACAAAAUCAACAUCAUCUUAGUCAUCAUUUUCAUCUUCAUAUCUUUUUGUUAGGCCACUACCAUCAGUGGAUCUGGACUGUUAUAGUCCUCCAAUUUAUAAAGGCAAGGUCUAAAAUGCAUCAUGUGAAGGGGUGGAGCCUCCUUUAUGCAAAUUUUGGGCUCUAUGUUUUGGACUUUGAAUUUUGUAUUUUUGCAUUUAUUUCUUUAGUGUUUGGUUUAACUCUAAGCUCUUAGUUACAAUCCAAUUGAUAUUUGAAUUAGUUAACAGCAACUAGGGUGAAAGCUGCAUCCCUUUAUCUAGCUUCCUUGACUCCUAACAAUUUCAGAAAAACAAAAUGGGCAGUAAAAAAGGUGGAGUCCAAAACUACCUGGGUGUUCAGUAAUGGUAUCUGUUGCAAAACCAAAUUUAAUUAAGGUAAUGGCUUUAAGUACUGCAUCAAACCAGUCACAUGAGAUCUUUUUUCAUGAGAUUGUUACCAAAUUUGUUUCAUAAUAUCAACAGCACGGAGUGACCAAUGCAACUCAUGCACAAUGGACACUUGUAACUUUUAAGUUCAUAGUUAGAACUCUCUGCCAGGCAUGACAAUGCAAAGACCAAACUCAUUUAUCAAUAUUGUAAGUGCAGCUCAUCAAUUUGUAUUGAAAUUAAUAACUUGUGAUGGUCAACUUUUUUGAAUGUCUCAGUAAUUCAGUGCAUCUACCAAAUAGUGAAAUGCUGUUUCUUUGAUUUGUUUUGUAUGUUUUGUAUGCUUUUUAUUUUUUAUUUUUAGGGCAGGUGAAAAGUUACUUCAAAAGUAAAUAAAUAAAUAAAUAAAUCAUAAACAAGUCAACAAACUAAGAUAUAUCUUUUUUUAUUUAUGCAAAACACUUAUAUGUUUCUUGAUUUUGGAAGCUUAUAUAAACAAAACUAUUGAUAGAUUUAUUUCCAAUGUAAAACUUGUAUUAAGAAGAAAAUUAUGCUGGCAAAGAUCAAGAGUAGUGGAUCAUGACUUAAUAAAAAGAAGAAUCAAAAUCUGUAAGAUGCUAAUUGUCUCAUACUUAAAUAAAAAUAGAUAAAAUUGUGGAAUUUAAAAGCAUGAAGAUCUUCCACAAUAUACGUUUCUUUGAUUCGGAUGUAUUUUUAGAAUAAUCAGCUGCCUAAAAAAUAUUUAGCAAUAAACUCCAUGUAUAAAAUAUGAGAUGUUAUUAGGCCAAGGCUACAAUACAUCAUGUCAAGGAGUAAAGUGCACUUGUAGACAAUUUUGAGCUAUAACUCUUUUCUUGUCUAAUUUGUAUUUUAAAAUGUUUUUAGGAAAAACAAGAUGAAGGGGUGGAGCUUUAAUUCUAGUCACCUGUGAAUGGUGUGAAUAUCAAUUGUUUUGAAUCUAAAUGCGUAGAGAAAAACCAAAUAGUCAAUAAGGCAGGAAGAAAAAACCAAAGAAGACCUUGAAUGAGGUAAAAUUCAAAGCCCAAAAUUGGGUAAGCUAAAACUCAAUCCAUUAAAUUAAUGCAUUAAAAUCCUAAUUAUAUAUAUAUAUAUAUAUAUAUAUAACAAAUAAGAUGAUCUUUAAUGUACAUGAAUGAUGUAGUUAGGAAUAUUUCUCUAACAAAUAAAAAUAAAAGUAAAAUACUCAGUUGCUAUGUUAUGUGAUAAAUUUAUGCACAAAGUGCUUAUGCUUGAAGUAUUAUGUGAUGAAUACUUUUGUAUUUUUCCAAUCCAUUCUAUUCUUUAAGCUAAAAUUUUUUCCCUGAAAUUAUUCUACGCUUGUUUUGGCUCUUAGUUUAUAUGCCCUUAAAUUUUGUUAAUGUUUUUUUUGUUGCACUUACCAUGAAGUCUACAUUAUUUUAAAAACUUUCGACUGAUAAUUAGUAAUAAACUCUACAUCAUAAGAAUAUCAUUUAUACCAGAAGUAGAGGAUGUUAACAUUAAUCACAUUUUAGUGAAGUAUAUAUAAUGGUCAUGCAACAAAUGAAUGAAUCCCUCUGCACACAUAUAACUUUUGUACACAAUAAUCUCAACCUGUAUUAUCUACAUAUCAACAUCAAUAAAAAAAUCACAUAUGUAUUUAUAUAUCGACACAUCAAAUAUAAACCAUGCAUAUUUUUGAAAGUACUUUAAAAAAUAGGUUUUUUCUUCAUGAUAAAUUAUACUCAAAUUCGAUUUUUGUUUCAAUGGAUCUAAAUUUAAUGAUCUUAAAUCAGUUCAAAAGUCAUGCUUAUAUAUGAGAAUUAUAAUUAUAUUGGUUAUAAAUAUUCUAUUAAUUUUAAAAAAACUAAAAUAUAUAUUUUGAAUUAUUGAUAUUAUAAUAGAAAUACAUAAUAAAAAAUAGCAACAAUUUUUAUAGAUUGCCGUCCUUGCAUAUGUUUCUUGUAUGUAUAAGAAAUUUCUAAUAAAUUACUUAUUUAUAUUAUAAUAUUAUACUAUUUAAUUACCAACCACCUUUUGAAUUAAGACAAUAUAGAAUUUUUGUUUUGUACAAGGGCCUUCUAGAUACCACAUUUCAUAAGUAUAAAAAACAUUAUAAUUUUACAUAUAUUUGAAGGAGAUUUUUUAUCUUCUCUACUUCCAUGGAUUAUUAUUUGAGGUUGUUUAUUUAUUUAUUAUCUUAAUCAUUAUGGAUUUAAUAUAUCUAAUGUUGUGGCCUCAUAUUUGGCAACUUGUAUGCUUGAUAUUUGGCAACUUGUGUGCUUGAGGGAUGGAUAGACUUUUGUGUUUUAGUUAUUGAUGUAUAAUAUAGAUAAAAAAAUAAAUUGAUUUUUUACCAAUAUUUUAAGAGUAGCUACAUAGUAGAAGAUUUAUUAUGAGAUCUCUUAGGAUUAAUAUCUAAAUCAUGCAUUGAAAAGUAUAGAAAUAUAAAGUUAGUAUUCAUACAAAUGAGAAAUUUGGACAUGUUCAAAAAAAUUAAAUAUAUUUUUCAAUUUUUUUUUCAUGUAGUCUAAAGAUAAUGAGAUUUUUUCGAAGAAGAUCCCAAGUAAAAAUCUUAAAUCUUCAAAAUGGUAUGAUGAGAAAAAAUCAAUAGUAACCACUAGCAUCACAUUUAUUUUUAACCUUAUACCUAUUAAUUAAAAUAAAAAACUUCUUUAGUCAUGCAAAGCAUAUUUUUAAUUAACUCUUUAAAUUUUAAAAGUAAAAGUAUUAUUUUUUACAAAAGUUAUAUCUUCUUUCUAAAGCCAUUUAUAUAAAUGAUGAUUUUUGGUUAAUAUUCAUCCGUAUGUUGAAUUUUUAGAUUUUUUUUAUAAAAAUUAUUAUUGAAGAUAUCAAAUUAUAAAAAAUUAAUAUUUUAAGCAAAUUUACAUUAUAAAAUAAAGUAAGACUAUCUUAGAUAUGGAUAAGAUCUUAAGAAAUAUAUAAAACCAAUAUAUUUUGGUAUCAAUUUCUUCAAAUAAGAUGAUAUUUGACAUCUUCUACGUAUGUAAUGAAUAAUUCAUUCCUUCAUCAUUCUUUUACUAAGGUGCCUAAAAUAUGAAUGGUACUUCAAGACCCAUUUCACCAUUAUAAAAUAUAACUAUUUUUUUAGAAUGAGAUGUAAAAAAAAUAAAAUAAAGAUAUUUUAAUGUUUGUCAAAAUCUUUAUUUUCUAUUUUUAAAUUUCAUAUUCAUAUACAUAUAUAAAUAUAUAUAAAAAUAAUAUAUUUGCAUCUUUUAUUUUUAUUUUUAGCCAAUAUUUUUUAACUUCUAUCUUCCAUCUAAUCCCUUCAAAAAACAAACUAUGUUUAUAAAUUUCUUCAAAGGCUGUUAGUUAUUAGAAAAGUGCUUGACAAGGUAUUCAAUCCUUCAAAGGCUUUUGAUUAUCAAUAUUUUUAUUUAAAGAUAUACACUUUUCUUCCAACAACAAUUUAUAUUGAAAUUAUUCAACUUUCUUUAUAGUAUAACAUUUUAAAUAAGCUUGGCCCCUAUCAUAGACAUACAUAUUUACCUAGAUAAGAAGAGCUAGGUAGAAGGUAAAUGUAGAAAGAUUUGAUAUUAUCUUGUGGCAUAACUUCUUAAAAGCUUCAUAGAUGCAUAUUUGACUUUAUACAUAUUUAUAGUUGAUUGAUCGAUUAGAAUCUUAGCCAACAAAUUAGUCAUAUAUCACACGUGUGGAUAACUUGUGGUAUAAGUUAAUAAUAUGGCAUGCAUAUAGGAAACUUGUCUUGCAAGUUAAGAUACAUGUCUUGCAAAUUGGAUAUGUAUUAGAGAUCUUAUGUGACAUUGCCAUAUAGCUUUUAAUAAAUAAUAUAUAUAGAAGCAAGAGUAAAGUCUUUUUCAUUCUUAUCAACGCCUUUCUAGUUCUUAGUCUUUUUCAAUCUAGUAUAUAUAAGUGCAGAGGACUUUAGAUAUGAUGUAAGAAUUGUGUGCUCUUUCAUGUAUACACUUAUGUUCUUUGUUCAAGAUUGCUGAGAUUGCAAACUCAUGAUAACAAACUUAUACAAUACACAAGUGUCUUUAUUCCAUGCAUUUCUUUUAAACUACAAACUAAUAUUGAAAGGAUUGCAUGCAACUUGAUAAUCAUGACUUCUCUCCACAUGCUCAUCUCUUUGUCAAGUGCACAUUUUUGUCAAAUAUGAUGUAUAUAAUAUGCUAAUAAUCAACAACCUUGGAAGAAACUCACAUACAUAGUCUAUUGUUUGGAAGAAUUGGAACAUGUAGUGGAGGGAGGGAAGUUGGGAUAGGAGAUACAUGCUGAGGAUGGGAAUGGGGAUUAGUACAAGGGACUAAGACCUACUACUUGUUACAAUGGUGGGGUUGAAAUAACAGCAAGUGGGAUUGAUUUAACAUUUCCCUAUUUAUACACACAUCACAUUAUUUAUUUAUUUUGUACUUUGCAAGACAUUUUGUUUUGAUAUGUUUUGAUUUUUUUUUUUAAAUAUAAUUUUUGAGAUCUUCAAAAGCUACACGAAGGAGAGAUAAAAUGACAGGAAUAGGUCCUUACAUCAUCCAUGUGAAAAAAAAAAUUACUCUUCUCUCAUACGAGGUUUAAAAUGCAAGUAGGGUGAGAGGUAUCCUCGUGACACCUACCGAGUAGACUAGCGGUGUGAACACAGUUCAAACCCUUCCGUAAGUACGCGGGCCCUACGUCACUGUCAUAGAGCCCCUCCGUUUGCUCUCCCCCCCCCUUUCUGCGUCUUCUCGUAAUCCGGCCGUAUUUGAAUUUAGCUUCGGCAGCAGGGGCGGGCUCAUGCUACUCUUAACGGUCUACUGGGAUCCCUGCCAAACCAGUUAAACCAGACGAAAAUUACUAAGGUCGUCCACCUUCGUCGGACGAAGUUUGGGCCCCGCGCUAGUCGUCGCUUGGCGCCAAAUCCAGACUUCCGCCAACUUCGGCCGCUCUCGACAUUCUUCCGCUUGAAUUAUGGAUUGGGGCGUGAAUGAUUCCAAUGCGGAUCUGUUUGUCUGGUGUCUGAUUGUGUGCGGAUUUUCGAGCGAGAGACCAAAUUCUGCGUCAUUGUGUGUUGGAAUGGAAGUUUUCCGGUGACUUGCAGUGAAGUACUUGUGGUUUUCAGUAUGUGGAUGGUAUUUGGUGUAAUAAUUGGCCGUGGGGCGACUUUUUGAACUUUCUCUCGCAGUUGAGAGAGGGACUCAUUUCGAAGACGAUACGUGCUUGCCGUGGCUUGCGAUGUGUGAGUUGUGAAGGUGCGGGGUGUAAAGGUGGCAGUCGCGGCAGAGGCUUGGAGCUCAGGAAAGAUUAAUGCGUAGAUUCGCCUAGUUAUAUUACGAUGCCGAGCUCCCGAUAUCCGUCGCGUGUGCGGAAUGAAGGUGGUGCAGUGCAGCCUGUGGAGAAGCGGGGGCGAAAACAGGUUGUGAAGUUAGAGGAGAGCGGGAGUGACGUGGAAGAGGAUAUGAAACCUGAUGUUGCUCUGGAUGAUGUAGAGGUCAUCAAACAUUCGGGGACGGUGCGACGCCCUUCUCUGCGGAGCUCCACGCGCAUUGCCACUCUUGCUUCUCGUCAGUCUUUGAAGCAAGAAGUUUCAGAGUCGCCCAGUCCGCAGCGUGUUCGGAAGCGAGUGAAAAUUGCUGCAAAGGUGAGCGUGAAAGAAAAAAAGGUGAAAGUUAACGAAAAAUCGUCGAAGCAGGCGAAGGGGGAUGUCGUAGCUGAUAAAUUGAAAGUUGUAACUACAAUCGUGAAGGUUGAUAGUGAGGGGGAAGAUAAGAAUGGGCGUACCGAUGAUCCUGUCGAGGUCGUGGAGAAGGUCAACAUACCAGGAACGGAUAAAUUAGCACAACUACUCGCGGAAAGAACUAGUUUAAGCGAUGCUUUGCAAGUCAAAGCAACGAUUCGAAUUUUCAAUUUCAUGUAUCUGGAAGCCAUUCAGGUGUGUGCAAUUCCAUCGAUGGCUUUUUCCGUGCGUUGAGUUGCUACAAUAUCACAAAUUAGUUAGGAUGCGGCGUGCAUCGUGAUAUUCAUCAAGUCCCAGGAAAGUCUUGUCCUGAUUUAUGGAUUGCUCUGACCCUGGCAACUUUCGCAGGAGGAAGACAAGCGCGCUUCAGAGCUGCUAAUGAAGAUAGGAGAGUCUGGCACAGGCAAAAGACCCUCCAAACGUCCUGACCUGAAAGCUGUUUCCAAGGUAACACAGCAGGGAUGGGGAUUUCGUUACGAAAUACACCUGGUUCUUUGAGAGUUAAGGGUAUCUUAAGUACAAUUUUUAAGAGUGAUCAAGGAGAUCUGACGUUGUUUCGAGUUUCAGAUACUUUGAUAUACAACCUAGUGGUGAUGAUCCUUCACCUUGGAUCUGAAUGCUCUGUUAUUCUAGCUAUAUUAUUAAUCAUAACCCAAGAACUUCGUAGGAAGCAGUGCCGGGGGUUUCAAUUGGCAAAUCAGAUGAUCUGAAAGGAGGAGGAGAUAGCUGAGCUUGGGUCUUUGAUGCACAGAUGAUCGAACUUAAGGCAACUCUUAAUUCCGAGAAACAAGUUGGUGCUAUUCCAGGUCAAACUCUCUUUCUGAGCUCAACUUUCGUUGCUUAGGAGGUUCCAAAUUCAUGCAAUUCUUUGAAUGAAUAGUUCUUUCAUCCAAGUUCUUGCCUUGCACAAUAUCUUACUCGUGCUGUGUUAUGUAUAUCUCCAGGUGUUAGUGUGGGUCAGCAGUUCCUUUCAAGAGCAGAGAUGGUUAUAAUAGGUCUGCAUUCUCAUUGGCUCAAUGGAAUCGACUACAUUGGAGUUGCCAAAGGCAGAGUAAGGCUUUAUACAGUUAGCACUUCCGAUUUUCCGCUUCUUAUAAUACGUUCAUUGAGAACUGUUCCUUUUUAAAUGAACACUUGGUUGUCAGUUUAGGCAAACAAAUGUGCUUCGUAUUUACUGACUUGCAACGAUCUCAAAGAUGUACAUUUGCACCGAUUAUUAUUUUCACCUAUGAAAUUCUUGAUAGUGAAGCAAGCGGCGUCUUCGAGUUAAAAAGUAGAUUUAAGUAUGGGGCGUGGAUGUUCGUCUGCAAUCUGUGUAUGGUUGUGACUUUGGUUGUAGUGCUUUGGCUUCAUCACUCUGUGGGCGUAGCUUGGAACAAGGCGAUAUGUCAUAAAAUUUUGCUGGCUUCGUGUUUCUUGUUUAUACUGUGCUUAUGUUAACGUAUGUGUUUUCUGUCCUAGUUCUUUUUGUGCCGAGCAAGGUUCAGAGUUGGAAUCUAGGGUCGGAUUGGAGCUUCUCUGAUUUAAUUUUGUUGUUGUGAUGGCAUUAGAUGCCCGAUGUAGAGCUUCCAAUUGCUGUUUCAAUUGUUAUGUCGGGAGGCUAUGAAGAUGAUGUUGACAAUUCAGAGGACAUGGUUUACACUGGGCAAGGAGGAAACGAUCUUUUAAGCACUCGUCGCCAAAUCAAAGACCAAAAGAUGGAGAAAGGCAAUUUAGCUUUGAAGGUACGUGGUUCCUAGGCACAAAGGCACUUGCUCCUCCUGCCAAUGGAUGGUUGCAAUGUGAGGAUGUCCUUGGUUAUAUCUAACUUUCUGCCAACAUAUCUCUGCUACUCUUUCGAAUAAAUUGAAGUUUAGUGCCUCGUCUUUUCUACUGAUAAUUGAUUCCCCAAAAUGUGGUUGUACAGAAUAGCAUGAAGUGCCGACUACCUGUCCGUGUCAUUCGUGGUCAUGCCGACAAAAUGAGUUACACUGGCAAGGUUUACACCUAUGAUGGACUGUACGAGGUAAGUCUUCUGCUUUUGAACGUUGGAAUCAAGAUGUUUGAACCACUUUGAUCUUUACACUGACUUGGGAUUAUCUUGCUAUAUUAAAACACGUUUAUUUGGAAUUUGGAAACUGUACCGUGGACCAUCUUAGAAUGCAUUGUGAUUUACGUCUUCAUCGUAAGGGCACACUCCUAACACUUGCCAGACCUUCAAUGAUGCGCGAUCAUACUCCCACUUUUUUGGUGGCACUGAAUCUAUUGGUCUCCAACCCGGAGUGCCGUUUUCAGAGUGGCUCAAUUUUGUUGACGCGUCUCCUAUUUUUGGAAAUUUAACGGUUUUGUGAAGCGUUGCUGAGAAUUUUAGAUCCGGAAUGCAGGUUUACGGUCACUGGGCUGAAAAGGGGAUUUCUGGGUUUACAGUGUUUAAGUACAAGCUUCGGCGUUUGCCUGGGCAGCCAGUGCUCACUAGCAAACAGGUGCAUAUUUGCUUCCUACGAGUGGAAUUCAUUAAUUCUGUGGUCUUUGGUGUGAGCUUUAAUAGUUAGUAUAUGCAGUUGUUGGCGUUGUUUAUCUCCUCCUUUUCAUUGUGAACCGGAAAUUCUCAGUAGUUGCCCGAACAACAUUGCCCCUUGCAGUAUUAUCACUAUUUCAAGACUCUUAAUCUGUUGCCGGUUAGAUUACCCCUGGGUUGUAAUAGCCUGGUUUUGUUCUUAUGGUUGCAGGUUCAUUUUGCUAGAGGGAAAGCACCAGACAACGUUUCAGAACUGCGAGGGUGCUACUCUCUCACUCUCCUCCUUUUCAGACGUUCUGUACUUCAAUUCUAUAGCUGACUCUAGAAAUUAUGCAGGUGUAACACUAAUUCCUUCAUCCUUAAUUGAUAGUUCAUGAAUCUAAAACCUUGUACUUGUGCAGAUUGGUGUGUAAAGACAUCUCGAAUGGGCAGGAGCGCAUACCAGUGCCCGCUUCUAACACAGUCGAUGAUCCUCCAGUUCCUCCUACAGGUUUGUGCGUUCCCGUUUCUUUUGGCUACAUGCGGAACCUUGGUUGUGGGGUUUCUAUGUUUUCGUGGAAUUUCGAUCACAAACUCGUUUCAGUACGCUGACUCUUAAUGAUAACGGAGUAUCAAAACUGCAAUCCUCUUUUCCCAGGACCUUUGUUCAAGCCCUCCGAUUUGGGGUACAUCCUGCUAACAGUUCUCUGUAGACCCUAGUUGUUAGCAAGUGCACCUGACAUGGUUGAAUUUACCAGAUUACACGUACAUCACGAAGACCGUAGUACCAGACGACAUUGCAAGACCUCCCCCUUCUAAAGGCUGCAGUUGCAGGGGCGCCUGUACAGAAGAGAAGGACUGUGCUUGUGCUCGCAAGAAUGGAAUGUCCUUCCCUUAUGUUUUCAAUCAUGGCGGAAGGUAUGCCGUUUGAUUUACACUUCCUGUAUUAUGUUCAAAUAUCAUGAUAAGGCUUCCACUAUCCAGCCCCGCAUACAAACAGAAGUUUUUGUUCGUAUGUUGCAUAGUCUUGGUCAUGUCUUCGCGAUCAAGGCAGUCUGUAUCAAGACUUUCACCAGUUUUUUGGUGCCCCAGUAAUAACCAAGAAUGGAAGUUAGGUAACUACUAGGUUAAUCAGGAUGUCAAAAAUUCCGCCUUCUGUUUUACACAAGGAUUAGAUGUCAAAAAAAUUCGGGAUCCAUUUAGGUGUCCAGCAGAAUGAAUGUACAGGAUAUGUAAACAUCUUAGUCAAAUUUAUGAACUUGUAUUUGCACAUGUACACUGCAAGUUUCAUCUGACAUCGUGGAUGCUUGGGAUUUACAGGCUGGUGAAACCCAUGGAUGUUGUUUUUGAGUGUGGCCCUGGGUGUGGUUGUGGCCCUGAAUGCUUGAAUCGAACAUCUCAAGUGGGGCUUCAAUAUAGGCUUGAGGUGUGGAUACUUUCAGUGCUGUCGUAAUGCAAACACUUACCAUGUUUCGUAUCGAAGAUGGUUUUUCCUUUUUAGUAUCAGGCCUACUCUGUACACAGAAAAUAGUGGUAUCGUAAGCUUUUACAUGGUCUGAAUUUAGGCAGCCUGCUAAGUAGAGCUUUCAAUGGGCUUGAGUUGUGCAGGUGUACAAAACUGUUUCAAAGGGGUGGGCUUGCCGAUCAUGGGAUUUUAUUCCAGCGGGAGCACCAAUCUGCGAGUACUUCGGUACUUUGAGACGGAAUGAUGAGAACUUGGAAAGUAUGCUGGAUAACAGUUAUAUUUUUGAGCUCGAUCUACUUCAAACUAUGCAAGGCAUGGAAGGGCGCCAGGUAUUUAAUCAAUAUUUCCUAGAUACUUGCCAGACGAUGUGCAUUUGGAUACCAAAAUUGUACCUAUAUUGUGUGUGUAAAAUUUGCACAGCUUGAGAUUGGUCCUUCCAAUCCAGAAUGCGGAUAUGAUUAAGCUCUUGUGAGGAGAAAUAAAAAUGAAAAGAAAGAGAGAGAAUGAGUCUGUACAUGAUGCGAAUGGAUACCAUUAUGAAUUAAUACGCCCGCCAUUCACCUUGAGACCGUAUAAUAGUUCCAAGUACCUUAAAUUCCUUUCACUCGCAUUGCAGAAAAGGUUUGGCGAUGUAAUGCCGGAGCUUAGUGAUGAAGACGACUUGAUGAUGCAAGAUGCUCCCGCUUAUGUUCUUGAUGCUGGAAAGAAUGGAAGUGUUUCAAGAUUUCUUAAUCACAGCUGUGAACCUAAUGUGUUCAUCCAAUGUGUGUUGAGCCAUCACAACGAUGUCACGAUGCCCCGAAUUGUAAUGUUUGCGGCAGAUAACAUUCAUCCAUUAGAGGUGCGUUACGUUUUCUCAAGAAAAAUAAUCUCUGCUUCUCUUCACGUUAUAUGCCCUGUACCCAGACUUACAAUCUCUACGAUAUUGCGUUCUUUGUUACGCUCGUUUGACAGCUUAUUGAUUGCGUUCCAUGGAAUCCUCAGGAGUUGUGCUAUGACUAUGGUUACGCGAUGGACAGCGUGGUGCGGGACGGGACAGUAGUGGAGAUGGCUUGUCACUGCGGAGCCGCAUCAUGUCGUAAGCGCAUGUAUUAGAUAUAAUCCACAGAUCGCAGUUGAUUCUUUAAGGUUGAUCUUUCUUUCGACCUCUGUACAUUAGGCCCAACUGUUUAUUUCCGUGCACUGCUUGAUAUUGAUGUGACUUACAUUUCUGAGCAUCUUUCUGAGUGAAUUACUCAUUGGCGCAAGCAGUGUGCAACAUUUAGGCAGGCUUCUACCACUUCUUGUGGCGAGUGUUCUAUAGGACAUCAAUUCAAUUGAAGAAUUGUCUUGGCGAGGCCUAUGAGUUGAAGUUCUUCCCGUAAAUGUCGGCGGUCUUUUCUGAAGACUUCGAACUUUGCCUUUCAGUUUGUUUUAUUUUUUUUCUUGCGAUGUCCAAAUGUAAAAUUUGAGGUCAAUUAUUCAUCCCUUACUUAUUUUGGUAUUUCUGGCUCAGCCUUGUAAACCAAUUGAUGAUAAUCCAUUCGGAUCGUGCUGUAAUGUCGAGACUGUAGCCCGACAAGCCUGAAGAACUAAUGGUAUUUUUCCCGUUCGGUUCUCUUCAAGAAAUGAAGCGCUGUAUCCUAGGAUAUUAUGAGUGGUAUAUUGAAUACAUGUGACAAUUAACUUUUAUUUGUAGAUAACCUGAUGUUAUAAUCUGCAAAUGCCUGAUACUAGUAUCUCAUAACAUUUUAGAGCUGCAUCAGUCGUAGUGGAACCACUAAAUUUUUUUAUCUGGUAGGCACAUUACUUUUGAUUAGACAUGAAUCAUUUAUGGGCGUUCAUGAUCCUAAUUAUUGCUAUAAUUAAAGAUUAAUUGUCACUCUCAAAUCUAGCAUUGUGGAUCUUGUGAAUUCGGACUACCCAUAUAUAGAACAUGUGUGCUUCCCUUCUUGUAAAAAAUAUUGGUUUUUUUAUUUUUUAUUAGUAAGAUUAUUUUUACAAUAUUGACUUCACCAUGAUAUCUAAAAAUAUCCAAUUAGCUUUGGAUCUUUGUGAGGCUUUUAAAUCUUGUUCCAUUUUUUUUAUAAUAAUUUUAAAGAUGGUAGUAUCAUAAAUAUAUAUAUUUAUUUAAAUAGUAAUUUAAAUAAUUAGAUAGAAGUAGGGUAAUAUAAAUUAAAUCUAUAAUAUCUUUUAUUGAAACUUCCUAAAAGUUUUAUGAUUUUGAUUUACACAUAUUUGUAGUUGAUUAGUAGAUUAGAAACUUUAUCAACAAGUACACUAUGUACUACAUGUAUUGGUAACUUCUAGAAUAAGCUAACUAUGUGGCAUACAUAUAAAUAACUUGAUGUCAUAGACAUACAUAGGUAUUCUAGUAAAUAUCUAUAUAAUUAGGUAGGAAUAGGUAAAAGUAGAUAAAUUUCAUAAGACCUUUUAGAGAAGCUUUCCAAAAGCUUUAUAAAUGUUGUUUGAUUUUGUAUGUAUUUGAAGUUGAUUGAUGGGUUAGAAACUUGGUCAACAAGUUAAUCAUAUAUUGAUAGCUUGCAAAAUAAGCUAACUAUGUGCUGCACAUAUAGAAAACUUGCCUUGCAAAUUAAGAUAUAUGUUUUACAAAGUCAACAUGUUUUGGAGGUCCUAUAGGAUAUCACCACAUAGCUCCUAGUUAAGAGUAUAUAUAGAGGCAAGAAUAAAGCCUUCUUUAUUCUUGUCAAUGCCUUUUUAGUCUUUAGUCUUGUUUCAAGACUUUCGAGUCUUCUUGUUUUUGGCAAUAACCAUUCUAGUUCAGUGUUAUAUCAUCUUUGAGUAAUUUUAUAGUUUCUUUCAAUGAUAUAAGAGUGUAUUGAAGAUUAUCUUUUUUCAAGUUUUAUAUCCUUGAUACUUUGACAAGACUACUAAUAUGUUAUUUUUAUCUUAUUUUAAAAAAGAGUGGAUUAUUCUACUUCUAUUGUUGUGUUUUGAAGGUUGUAGAUUAUCUAUCUUUAAACAAAAAAUCUUGUUUUCUGACACUGAUUUUUUUCUAAAAGAGAGUGGAUUAUCCCUCUUUGUUGAUUUUUUUUUUUUAUUAGAGGUUGUAGAUUAUUCUCUUUUAAUUUAACUUUUUGAAUUUGUUUGAGUCAUCUAUGGAAGAAAAAAUUAUACAAGCUACUUUCAACAAAAGUAAGAAUAGAUUUGCAACUAUUGCAAAUAUUCAUGAGCUUGUCAAUACUAUAAGAAUAGAAAUCUCACAUAUUUUUAAUGUGAAUCAUGGAAGUAUUAUACCUACACAUAUCGAAGAAGUUCAAAAUCUACGACAAGAAGUUGUAUAGUUGAAGGAAAUAAGUAGACCUGUCACGGACACAGAAAUAUAAACUCGAGAUCUAAUAAGAAGUUCAAGAAGAACUGGCAAGAACUAGAUUAAUCAGAUGAGAACAACACCAAAGAGGUGAGCUAGAGCUCCAAGAGAUGUGUUGUCGAGACUGAAGAACUCUUCAACCUCGAUUCCAAUAUAUACUCCUAUUUAGGAAGCUUCUCAAACAACUUCUAUCAACUAGGAAGCUUCUAGAAGGUUCUAGAGACUUGCUUCUAGAAGGUUCUAGAAACUUAUCUCUAGAAGGUUCUAGAAACUUAUCUCUAGAAGGUUCUAGAAACUUAUCUCUAGAAGGUUCUAAGGACUAUGUUCCUAAUAUCUUCUACUAACUAAGAAGCUUCUAGAAGGUUCCAGAGACUUGUUUCUAGAAGGUUCUAGAAACUUGUCUCUAGAAGGUUCUAAGGAUUAUGUCCCUAACAUCACCCCCUCCUUUAGCUUCGAGGUCUCUGAGAAGCAAUGUUGUUGAUCAAUACCAACGCAAGAAAAUGAAGAUCUGUCGCAUAAUGUCUGCAAUGAAUUCCAACUGUUUUUCACGAGGAAAGUGGUUCAUCGGCCCUUGAAGCCAAUGGUAGUAGCCCACUCCUUCAACUUCUGACCAAGCAUGAACUUCCGUGUCCUCAUUAUGAAAUUGUCCUGUAAACACGCCUUCUAGCUGACCAUCGUAAGCAGGCUCGGACUCAAAUACAAUCACCAGUGAUCAGUUACUCGGUAUCCUUCGUCGUCGUUGUGGUGUAGGCGGUUCUUCAUCUCGGGGUCGCCUUCGUGAGCUAGUCGGUUGAGAUAAUCUGAUUGGCAUAGUAUCUAUCUCUUGGCUAUCCAUAUCAGAAGACCAAACUAUGGCUAUUGAAAAAAUUCUAUUUUAUCUUGGAGAAAAUAACUACAUCAAGUACGAAUUUUGGUGGUACUCUCCCCAUUUCUUAUAUUCUUGGGUGAGCAAGCUUCAAAAAGAAGCUAUCGUCGAAAUGGCUUAGGUUUAUGAGGAUGUUGUUGAUGAAACUCUUGUACCUUUUGCGGUGCAUUGGCGAGAUUUACAGCUAGGUCCCACGUUCGCUCAUUAAUGUCGUAGCCGCACCAAUGAACAAGAUACUCCAACUUGUCCCACCUUCGCCGUGAAUCCAGUACCUUUUCAACCUCGUAUUCCUAGUGGUUCUCAAUCUCAAUACUAGGUGGCGGACAUUGUACUCUUGCAGGAAAAGAUGACUCUCGAUAAGGCUCUAACAGAGAAACAUGAAAGACUGGAUGUACCUUUAUAGAAGCCGGUAAUUCCAAACGGUACGCCAUUGGAUUGAUUUCCUUCUGGAUGAUAAAUGGUCCCAAUCUUCGAUAGUCCAACUUAUCACAUAGUCGCUUGGUCUUGAUAUUUUGUCAAAGAAGCCAUGCUUUAUCUCCAAUUUUGAAAGUAGGUGCUUGAUUCUGAAAUCUAUCUACAGAUGCCUUGUAGGAUUCUUCAGCUGAUUAUAAUUGAAGCUUCAACGUAUUUUGAAGCUCUGAUAGUUGUUUCGCAAAUCCUUCAGCUGCUGGAUUGUUAUUUGUUGACGGACUCAAUAAAUCAAGCUUCGGAUGAUAUCCAUAGUUGGAAAAGAAUGGUGUGUAUUGAGUUGACACAUGGAGGGUGUUGUUAUAUACAAACUCGGCUAGCGUCAGAUAUGUGGUCCAAUCGUCUUGCUAAUAGUUGAUACUCCAUCGUAAGUAUUGUUCCAAGACUUGGUUCACCCGUUCCGUUUGGCCGUCAAUUUGAGGAUGAAAAGCCGAAGAAAGCUUGAUAUCCACCUUCAGUAUCUCAAAGAGAGAUCUCCAAAACUUUAAUACGAACUGAGUUCCUCGAUCUGAUAUGAUAUCAUCUGGUAGUCCAUGAUAUUGAUACACAUUAUCGAGAAAAAGCCUUGCUGUGACUUCACUGGACGAUGUCUUCUUGCAAGGAAUAAAGUGUGCCAUCUUUGUAAGCCGAUCUAUCACGACAAAGAUGCUGUCAAAUGAGUUCGAUGAUGGAAGGUCCGUGAUGAAGUCUAUGGAAACUGAAGACCAUGGUCGACAUGGAAUUGGUAAUGGCUGUAGGAGUCCAUAAGGGUGAUGCCGAGGAUUCUUGGAUCUUGAACAGAUGUCGCAGGAGAGGACAAAAUCUUUCACAUCCUUCCACAUUUUGAGCCAUCAAAAAUCUCGAGAAAUAAGCUCCAAGGUCUUGUUGAAUCUAAAAUGUCUCGCAAUUAGAAAAUCAUGGCGAGAUUGAAGAACUCGGAGUCGUGCUGGUCUUUUUGGAAUAUACAACCACUCUUCAAAGUAUAAAAGAUCUUCCUCCACCUUGAAUUUAUCGUCAUUGGCACGCUGCUUGAUAUCAAUGGCUACUGAAUCUUUAAUGGUCACGGCACGUACAUGAUUCAAGAAGUCAGCAUCAAUUGACACAAUAGUAGCGCAAAGCCAAAAUUGCUCUGGCUUCAAUUACGUCGUACAUUGUUGAUCAAACGUUGCUUCUGCAGCCUUUGGUACAAGAUACAAUCUCCUCGAUAAGGCAGUAGAUAGUCCUUGCUGCUUUCGAGGUUGAUAAGUGAUAACAAAAUCCAACCUAGAUAGCAACAUACUCCACCGAGCUUGACGUCGAUUUAGAACUCGAGCCGACAUGAAAUACUCCAAAUUCUUGUGAUCUGUGUAUAUGGUCACUGGGUGUGCAGCUCCUUCAAGAAAAUGAUGCCAUUCUUGGAAAGAAUCCAUUAUAGCAAGAAGUUCCUUAUCGUGGAUCUCAUAAUUGAUUUCAGCAGCAAAGAACUUUCGAGAAUAGAAUGCAACCGGAUAGAGCUUCUUGUCUUCUCCCAUUUCUGAAAGUACAGCUCCCAAAGCAAAAUCCGAAGCAUUAGUUUCUAAAUAAAAGACCUUUGUAAAGUCUGGAUGUACCAAGAUUAGAGCCAUAGUAAAUGUAAUUUUUAGGUCUUGAAAUGCCUUUUCCACUAGAGGUCCCCAUUCCAGCUUAUCCUUGCAUGUCAAUCGAGUGACUGGAGCAGCAACUUGAGAGUAAUUCUUGAUGAAGAUCCGAUAGAAGUUGGCAAAGCCAAGAAAGCAUUGUACGUCUCUCACCGUCUUUGGAACCUCCCAGGACAUGAUUGCUUCCACCUUCUUGGGGUCCAUCUUCAAGCCUUCCGUAGUCGCAACGAACCCCAAAAACUCCAUCUCUAUUUGGUGAAAUAAACACUUCUUCAAUUUGGCAUAUAGUCCUCGCUCGUGUAGUUUCUCCAAGAUCAAACAAACGUGCUUUUCAUGCUCUUCCUCAUUUUUGGAGAAUAUCAAAAUAUCAUCCAAAUAGAUGACAACAAAAUCGUCAAGGUACUCUCGGAAAAUAUCAUUCAUCAUAUGUUGAAAGGCCGUUAGAGCAUUGAUAAGACCAAAGGGCAUGACAUUAUACUCAAAAUGGCCAUACCUUGUACGGAAUGCUGUCUUCCACUCAUUUCCUUCCUUGAUUCAUACGAGGUUGUAAGCUCCCCUUAGAUCAAUUUUUGUAAAAAUCCUUGCACGUCUAAGUUAUUCUAAGACACCAGAAAUCAAGGGUAACAGGUAAUGAUUCUUCUUUGUUAUCUUGUUGAGGCCUCGAUAGUCUACGCACAUCCGCAAUGACCCAUCUUUCUUCUUCACAAAUAAGAUGGGUGCUUCAGCUGACGAUUUUGAAUGACGGAUGAAGUUCUUGGCUAGAUUCUCGUUGAUGUACUUCCGCAAUUCUGCCAACUCCAUCUGCGAUAGAUUGUAGAUUGGGGCAAAAGGCGGUUGUGCUCCUUCCUAUAAGUCUAUGGCGCAAUCAUAUGGUCUGUGUUCCAGUAGCAUGUCAGCAUUUUUUUUUUGAAACACGUCUUUAAAAUCCUUAUAUUGCUUCGAUAUAAUUGUUGUCAAGAUCUUCUUCCCGGUAGUUGGAGCCGCAUAAAUGACAAACAGUGUGCCUUCCUUGGACGAUCUUACAAACGCUCUUGCUUCAAUAAAUAAGGAUUUUUCUAUUCGAGAUUUUCUACUAGGCUUGCUCUUGGGUGCUUUUAUAGGAAAGGUCAUCUUCCGCAACUUCCAAUCUAUGGAUGGGUUAUGCUUUUCCAACCAGGAAAGAUCAAGAAUAAUAGGAUUUGAUGGGAUUCUAAUAAUAUUGAAAAUAAUAUGACUACUAUGGCCCUUAAACGUCACUUCUAUAGGUUCUGAUUCAUGGGUGAUACUACCAGACAAUAAAGGUCGCCCAUCUAUGACCUCAAUGUGAACAGGUUUGAAUUUUUGUACUAAAGGGAUCUUAUGAUACUUCGCAAAUUCUUCGUCUGAGAAACAAGCAGAUGCUCCUGAAUCUAAUAAUGCUAAGGUUCUCAAUUUCUGAGGGCCAAUAAGCAAAUGGAUUGUAAAACAAAGGGCAGGUUGAGCGGAAAGAAAGGAACUUGGUUGUUGUUACGAUAUUUCAUUGUCCAGCCGCAGGGUUCCUAUUGUGGCUGGGCAUCCUCGUUUUUCUGAAUAAAUGUGCCCCUAGUCUUGACAAUACGCCGAUUUUGCUUCUUGGGAUAGUUUCCAACUUUGUAGCCUUCUUCACCGCAAUACAAGCAUAGACCUUCUUCCAUACGCCGCUUUUUUUCUUUUAGAGUAAGGGAUUUGACACGUACCACAUCAAUUUGCAUGUCUUCUACCUCUGAAUGUGAAUUCACGUUGCUUGCUGACAUAGUUGGGGCGUGGCGAAUCAUAUGUUGUCUUGAACGUUGGUCUUGGCGGCUUUGAAAUAGGCGGUUAUCGCACUUCACAGCUUGGCUAAUAGCUUUGUUCAGCGUUUGUGGAUGAGGAAGAGUUAACAGCAAAUUCUUCACAUCGUCCCUUAAACCCCAAUAGAAUUGACUCAUCAACGCUUCUUUGUCCCAAUUGAUGUCGCAUGCUAAUUGCCUGAAGUCCGAUGCAUAGACUGAUGUAGAGCGCAUCCCUUGUCGUAGUGAUCGAAUCUUUGUUGUAGGCCAUCGAACCUUGUCGUGUUCACCAAAUGCUUCCGCAAACGCCUCCAAAAAGGUUUCAAAGUUGUUUAGUAUGGACGAUCGUUUCUCAAACAAAGGAGCAAACCAUGAUAUAGCUUGUCCUGUAAGUAAGGUUCCAACAAGCCCAACACGUGACUCCUCCGUUGGAUAGCGUUCGGGCUAUAAAACUGUUAUCAACCUGAUUUGGUUGACAAAUCCUCGAAACUUGGAAUGCGUACCAUCGAACUUAUUCAGAAGAUUAACUCAAGGCUCCUUAUGUUGUAGAACCAGCGGUGCUUGUCGAACCUGAGGCAAAGUUGCUUCUCCAAGUACAAAAGUUUGAGGCUGGUGCAACUUAGAUUGUGCCAUCCCAGAUGCUCCAUCAUUAUGAAGCCUUGCCACGACUCCUUCAAUCUCUGCAAUUCUUUGCGAUAACGUAGCGAGGGCAUUCAUGAUAGCAUCCAACUUGGACUCCAAACUUUUCGUCAUACUAAUGUCUUGGCCCCCGGCCAUUCUAAGAGAAGGACAGAAAUGACUUUACAAGAAGAUAAUAUUGAUUUAGAGGAGGGUACUCCGCAACCUCUAAAAUGCCUUAAGAGCUUCAAGAAAAGGGGUAAUCUACUCUCUCCAAGAAGAAUAAGACUCCAAUAUUAUAACAAAAGAAAUAUCAGUUUAGAGGAGGGUAAUCCGCAACCUCUAAAAUGCUAGUACACUUCCAAGCAGAGGGGUAAUCCAUACUCUAACAAAGAAGAAACUAGCUUUGAUAUCUGAGGUGAGUGCAGUCUCAACAAACUGUCACGGACACAGAAAUAUCAACUCGAGAUCUAAUAAGAAGUUCAAGAAGAACUGGCAAGAACUAGAUUAAUCAGAUGAGAACAACACCAAAGAGGUGAGCUAGAGCUCCAAGAGAUGUGUUGUCGAGACUGAAGAACUCUUCAACCUCGAUUCCAAUAUAUACUCCUAUUUAGGAAGCUUUUCAAGCAACUUCUAUCAACUAGGAAGCUUCUAGAAGGUUCUAGAAACUUAUCUCUAGAAGGUUCUAAGGACUAUGUCCCUAAUAUCUUCUACCAACUAAGAAGCUUCUAGAAGGUUCCAGAGACUUGCUUCUAGAAGGUUCUAAAAACUUGUCUCUAGAAGGUUCUAAAAACUUGUCUCUAGAAGGUUCUAAAAACUUGUCUCUAGAAGGUUCUAAGGAUUAUGUCCCUAACAAGACCACCUUUAUAACCAAAUCCAAGGAAUUUUUUUUCUACAAGUAUGAUAAGGAUAAGGAUUAGUAUGCUCCAGAAUUUUGAUGGAAGAAUAUCAAAAUUUUAAAGGUUUUUGUAAUAAAUCAAGUUCUAUCUAAGGUUGCAUCCUUUCCAAUAUCUUGAUGGAUUUAUUCAAGUUAGAUUUAUAGGUGUACUUUUAUUAGAAAGUACUCUUUUUUGGUAUAUAUCUUUAAUAGAAAAAGAUUCACAACACUUUUAUGAUUUGAAUUCAUUCUUAAAAGUGUUUACAGCCACAUUCAAAAAAUUGAUAAAAAAAGAACAGCAAAAAAUAAGCUCUUAUCUUUACAGCAAGGAUCACGGUCAGCCAUCAUAUAUGCUCCUGAAUUUCAAAACUUUGCUAGCCACGUGGAUUGAAAUGACAAAGUCCUUAUCAAUCAAUUUUAAUAUGGAUUGAGGAAUAAUGUCAAAGACUUGUUAUUGACAAUGCCAAAGAUAAAAUAUUUGGAAUAAUUUAUUGCUCAAGCCAUUGCGUAUGACAAUUGAUUAUUUGAAAGACGUCAAGAACAAAGAUAUGGCUGGAGAAGAACAAAUCAAAUAAUGAUGGUAGGUUUUAAAUCCUUGACAAAGCAUGAAAAGAAUUGACGACAUUAAGAGGGCUUAUGCUUAUAUUAUAGAGAAAUUAAACAUAUUGCUCAAUACUAUCCAAAGAAACAACGCAAUUAUAAAAUAAAAAGCACAAUUGCCAAAAAAGAUAAUGUAUCAAAAAAUAAGUUGUUUUAAUUACAAUAAGGACCAUGCGGCUGGAAUCAUGGACAACAUCUAGUAAAAGUCUUAUUCUCUCUCAUCUUAUCUUUUUUUUAUAAUAGAAAUCUAUUUAGAAUCAAAAAAUUACAAAGACUUAGUCUUGUUGGAUUUAAGAGCCUUGGCAUGUUUUAUAGAUGAAGACUUUAUCAAGAAAUAAGAUAUAUUCUUAAUUAAGAAAAUCAAACUUGUGCAUUUAGAAAUAAUAGAUGGACCUUCAUUGUCUUCUAAAGAUGUUACAUAUGAAACUAUUCCUGUAAAAGUAGCAACUAGUGAUCAUAAUAGUUUAUUAAUAUUUAAUGUGAUUAAGUUUCCUUCUAAUCUAAUUAUUUUAGGAUUAUCAUGAUUAAAAAGAUAUAAUCCUUAAAUAGACUAGAUUUCUUGCAAUCUUGAUUUUCCUAAUAGUUUAGUUUCAAGGUCCUACUACACAAGAAGAAAUCCAUAAAUUUAGUACAUCCAAACCCUUAUUAGUAGGUACAAGAGCUUUCAUGCAUGCCUCAAAUGAAGGGCCAUCUUUUACUAUAUAUGCCAUAUCCAUUGCUGGUGGUGAGAAGAUAUAAAGUAGUAUUCCUAGCUAGUAUUAAUAUUUUUAGGAAAGUUUUGAAAAAAAGAAGGAAAAUAUUCUUCCAAAGCAUUCUCCUUAUGAUUGUUCUAUUGAUCUUUAAGAAGGAAUUCAACCACCAUUUGGACCAAUCUAUAGCCUAUUAUAAAAUGAAUUGGCUGCAUUCAAAGAGUACAUUAAUGAGAACUUUGCUAAGAACUUUAUACACCAUUUUAAAUCUCUAGUCGAUAUACCUAUUUUAUUUGUGAAGAAAAAAGAUGGAUCUUUACAGAUGUGUGGAUUAUUGAAGACUUAAUAAGAUCGCCAUCUAGAAUAGGUAUUUUUUAUCUUUGAUUUUAGAACUUCUUCAUCAACUAAAUUAAACAAAGUUCUAUACAACAAUAGAUCUAUAAGGAACAUAUAACUUGGUUUGCAUCAAAAAAAGAGAUGAAUGAAAGAUUGUUUUUCAAACUAGAUAUGGACAUUUUGAAUAUAAUGUCAUGUCUUUUGGAAUCAUGAAUGUACUAAUUCCUUUUCAACAUUUAAUGAAUGAUGUCUUUUGUGAGUUUUUUGAUGAUUUUAUCAUCUAUUAUUUAGAUUAUAUUUUAAUCUAUUCUAAGAAUAAAAAAGAGCAUAAAGUUCAUAUGCAUCAUAUGUUAUAAAAAUUAAAAGAUGUAGGAUUAUAUGUGAAGAUGAAAAAGUGUGUAUUCCAAACUACUCAAGUUGACUUUAUGGAGUACAUUAUUUCCAAUGAAGGCCUUAUGAUGGAUCCAAAGAAAGUCCAAACUAUUAUAGAUUGAAAGAUCCUAAGAAUAAUAAGAGAUGUACAAUACUUUUUGGGCUUUGCCAAUUAUUACCAAACCUUUAUCAAGAAUUUUUUUCAAGUUGUAGCUCCAUUUACAUGUUUAACUUAUAAAGACAAACUUGAGAGAAAUAAAGAAGCCAAAGCAUCCUUUCUUGCUUUGAUGAAAGAAUUUAUUUGUGCACUAACUUUGUAUUGCGUUGACUUUUCUAAGACAUUCUUUAUGGAAAAAAAUGCAUCAAAAUUUGCUUUGGAUGUAAUAUUGUCACAAAUGAAAAUAAAUGACAAAUUCCAUCUAGUACCAUUUUAUUCCAAAAAAAUUUCAGUAACCAAGAUUCACUAUAAGAUCUAUCACAAAGAACUUCUUGUAAUUAUGGAUUCAUUUCAAGAAUAGUAUCAUUAUCUAAAAGGCGCUUUAAGCCAAGUCAUAAUAUAUACAGAUCACAAGAACCUUGAGUAUUUUAUGUCAAUAUAUAUUUUAAAUUAUUGCCAAGCUCGUUGGAGCAUGUCAUUAUCAAGAUUUGAUUUCAAGAUGACAUAUCAACUUAGAAAAUAAUAAGGUUUAUCAAAUGCUCUUUUUAGACACUCUUAUCUUGAUUUUUGAUUUGAUCUUUGUCAAAAGUUUUUAAUUAAGUAUGUCUUUUGAUCUUUUUAUUCAUGAUAUGAAGAAUCUUUCUUCUAAGUCUUAUGUUGCUUCAAAGUUUGAGUUCAAAAACAACAUACUCUACUUUGAAAGAUCCCUAUAUAUUCUAGAAAGAAAAAUAUAUUUACGUAUUAUUCAAGUAUGUUACAACUUUUUAGCAAUAGGACAUUUUGGAUACAACAAGACUUUAGAGCUUAUAUCAAGAGAUUUUUGGUGUUGCAAAUGUGGUAAAAGACUUUGUCUAGUCAUGUGACAUUUGUUCAAGAUCAAAAACUCCUUAUCAUCGAUUCUAUAGACUUUUCCAAAUAUUGUUUGUACCUAAACAACCAUGGUUUUCAAUUUCUAUGGAUUUUAUUAUAGAUCUUCCAAAUUCAAGUUCAUAUGAUUCUAUAUUUAUAAUCGUAGAUUGCUUCAUCAAAAUAACAUAUUUUAUACUAUGUAUAAAAUAUAUUUCAGGUAAAGAAAUAGCUAAACUUUUUAUUGACAAUAUCUAUUGCUAUCAUAGAUGGCUAAAGGAUAUUAUAUCAGAUAGGGGACUCAAUUUGUAUCAAGAUUUUAGAAAAUCCUAUUCAAGAUUUUAAAAGUAGAUAUAAAGCUCUCUUCAACUUUUCAUCUUCAAAUUGAUAGACAAAUGGAAGGCAUGAAUCAAGUUCUAAAGUAAUAUUUGAAGUGUAGUAUCAAUUCUCAUCAAAAUGAUUGAACAACUCUUUUCCUAUUGGUAGAAUUUCCAUACAAUAAUUUGAUAUAUUCUUCUACUCAACAAAUAUCUUUCUUUGUCAAUUAUGGUUAUCAUCUAUGACUUGAUACUUUUGACUUUUCAAAAAUUGAUAAUCAUGCGAUGAAAGACUAUCAAAGAGUCAAUUAUCACAUUCAAUGGUUGAAGCAAUAAAUUACUCAGAUGAAUCUGCUCUUAGCAUUGUCAAUAAUAAAUCUUUGAUAUUAUCUUUUAAUCCAUAUAAAAAUUGAUUGAUAAAGGCUUUGUCAUUUGAAUUCAUGUUGUCUUGUUGUGAGAUAACUUUAUGAUAAAAAUAUAAUAAAAAAUAAUUUUUUAAUUAAUAUCUAAUUAUUUUGAUUCAAUAAUAAUUCAAGAUAUUUAAAUAUAAUUUUUAUAAAUAUUCCUUAUUUAACUUUCUUACUUAAUGACUAAUAGAAUAAAAGUCGAUUAGUAAUUUUAUAUUCUAGAGUAUAAAAAUUCUUUUACUACCUUAGAAAGGCCAUAAAUUAAUAAAAUAAUAUUAGAAGAGAUAAAUAAUUAGCAUGGUUGAUACUAGGAUUAAAUUAAAGAUAGGGUUGAAAAAAAAUUCCUAGAGUAGAUUAGAUUGAUACUCGGGAAUCAACCGUUCAUUGGAGAGGGUCAAAAAUAGACCUCCAACCAUUAAAAUGAUGGCCUAAGUCAAAGUUAGGAAGUAUUUGAAGAUUGAUAAUUAGCAUUGAUGAGUUAGUCCAAAUUGACUCAUUAAUUAUUUUAAGAUAAAAAGAUACAUUUAAAAUGGUUAGAACCACAAUAUAUAGUAAAUAGUAUAGAAAUCUUUAGACAAAUAGAAAAUUAGAGUAUUAGUUGUAGAAUUAGAGUCUUAGUAAAUCUUAAAGAUAAUAAUCUUAGUUGAUUUAUUAUUUAUUUAUUUAUUAUUAAAUAUUGAGGGAUAUUUACUAAGGUUAUUAUUUAUAUUGUCCUUCUAUUUAUACAUAUUAUUCAUAAUAAAAACUAUAAAUAUUUGUUAGUAGCUAGAAGAAGUAUGAGAAAGAACCUCAUGUCUUUUUAGUUAGUUAUAUAGAAAGUAGAAUUUAUAGUAGAUUUAAAUUGAUUUUAUUACUAUAAAAAUAAUUAAGAUAGGAAAUUAUAGCCUUCAACUAAUACUAAUAUUAUAGAACUAUUAAAGAAUUUUUUAGAAUUUUUUAAAGAAUUUUUAGAGCAAUUUCUAAGACUUUGAUAAAAAUGAGUUUUAUCACUUUGGAAGCUAUUAUGAAGAAAUGGAGAAAGACUUGAAGGCCACUAAUGGCUCAUAGGCUGAAUAGAUGUUUUUAAAUACCAUGGUGAAGUCAAAAAUAUAAAUUUAUGGAUUUUACUAAUAGAAAAUAGGAAGACAAGCAGCUAGUGUAGUCCUUGUUAGAGGGGAGGUUCUCAAGUCCCAUAUGGAUUGUAGCACCUUGAAGGUAGUUAAGAAGAUAAGACUAAGGCCUCAUGGCUUCUCUUAGGAACCAAUAUAUACUACUUAUGAGCCUUAGUGAGGCUCGAACUCUUGAUCUCUUAAACAAAUUACCUUUGAGAUAAAAUUAUUUAUUUAAUUUUUAUUUAUCUACUUAUUAUUUUAAAACCUUCAUAAUUUACUAAUAAUAACUUGAAUUUAUAUGUUUCUUAUAUCAUUGAAAAGUUGAAAAAAUUCUUUCUAAAAAUAUUUUUUAUUUUUACUAUUUAUUUUUUAUUAGAUAAAAACUCAAUAAAUAAAUUGUGACUAGUUUUGUAGUAUACAAUUACUUGAUUGCACUUAUUUUACUUAUUUUUUUGUAUUUUUUUCCUUUUUCUUUCUUUUUCAUACUUCCAUUAUACACCACUAAUAAUAAAAAAAAAUUAAUUGAAGCUAUCUUGUAAUUUGGAUUGAGGAGUGAAAUUUACAUUCAUAAAACCUCUUAUUGAGUAAAAAAAGACUUAUUUCUAUCAAAAAGAUUUUUAAUUUUAUAAGAAUCUAAGCACAUUACUUAAUAUUUUUUUAAAAAACAAAGCAAUAACAAAAUAAGAAGCAUAGUUACCAAAAAAAACAAUGUAUCAAAAAAUGAGCUUUUGUAGCUAUGAUAAAGAUUGUGCACCUAAAAUCUUGUGUAAUACCUUGUAAAGGUCCUAUUCAUUCUUCAAAUCCCUCAUCUUAUUUCACAAUAGAAGUUUAUUCAGGAUCAAAAAAUUACAAAGUCUUAGCUUUAUUAGAUUUAAUAGCCUCAAUAUGUUUUUUAGAUAAAGAUUUUAUUAAAAAAGAAAAAACAUUUGAAGUCAAGAAAACUAAACUCGUACAUAUAAAAGUCAUAGAUAGUCAUGUGCUAUCUUUUCGAGCUGUUAUCUAUAAAGUUGUUUUUUUAGAUGUAAAAAUUAAAGAUUAUAAUAGCGUAAUAAUAUUUAAUGUGAUAAGAUCUUCAUUCAAUUUGAUUAUUUUAAGAUUAUUUUGUUAUAAAAGUAUAAUCUUUAAAUAGAUUAGAUUUCUUGUAACUUUAAUUUUUCUUGUAGUUUGAUAUAAAAUUCUAUUAGUUAAAUAAAAAUACAUAAGUCUAAUACAUCCAAAUAAUUAUUGGUAGAUUUGAAACCUUUUAUUAUUAUUGUAAAAAAAAAAAUCAUCUUUUGUUAUAUAUGCUACAUUUAUUUGUGAUGGUGGAAAGACAUCAAGUUGUAUUCCUAUCCAUUAUCAAGAUUUCCAAGAUGUUUUUGAAAAGAAGAAUCCAAAUAUUCUUCCAAAGCAUUGACCUGAUGAUUGUUCAAUUGAUUUCUAAGAAGAAAAUCAACCACCAUUUGGACUAAUUUAUAACUAUUGCAAAAUGAGUUAAGUGUAUUAAAAGAAUAUAUUGAUGAAAAUUUGAUUAAGAACUUCAUAUCUCAAUUAAAAUUUCCAAUAGGAGCUCCUAUCUUAUUUGUCAAGAAAAAGAAUGGAUCUUUGUUGAUGUGCAUAGACUAUUAGGGACUUAAUAAGAUCACCUUCAAAAAUAGAUAUUUUUAUCUCUAAUUUCUAAACUUAUCAAUUAAUUCAAUUAAAUAAAGAUCUAUACAAAUAUAGAUCUAUAAGGACCAUAUCACUUGGUCUACAUGAAAGAAAGAAAUGAAUGAAAUACUACUUUUAAAACUAGAUAUGGACAUUUUGAAUAUAAUAUCAUAUCUUUUGGACUCACAAAUAUAUCAACUACUUUUUCAAUAUCUUAUGAACAAUAUUUUUUAUCAGUUUUUUUGAUGAUUUUAUUGUCUAUUAUUUAGACAAUAUUUUAAUCUAAUCUAAAAACAAAAAAAAUAUGAAUUUCAUGUUUUUUAUAUGACACAAAAAUUUAGAGAUGCAAGAUUGUAUGCUAAGAUAAAAAAGUGUAUAUUUUACAUUAGUGAAGUUGAUUUCUCAAGAUAUAUCAUUUUCAACAAAGGACUAAUGAUGGAUCUAAAGAAGGUCUAAAUUAUCAUAGAUUGGAAGAUUCUAAAAACAAUCAAAGUUAUAUAAUAUUUUUUGGAAUUUUUCCAUUAUUACAAAAUCUUCAUUAAGAUUUUUUUUCAAAUUGUAGUUCUCCUUAUACAUCUAGCAUGUAAAGAUAAACUUGAAUAGAGCAAAGAAGCUAAAGCAUUUUUUGAAGACUUGAUGACAUUAUUUAUUUUGCACCAAUUUUAUAUCAAGUUAAUUUUUCAAGGUAUUUUUUUAUAGAAACAAAUACAUCAGACAUUGCUAUAGGUAUUUUUUUUAUUACAAAUAGGAGUAUAUGAUAAGUUCCAUCCAAUAGCUAUUCAUUCUAAGAAAAUUAAUAGUUGAGAUUAACUAUGAAAUCCAUGACAAAGAACUUAUGAUUGUAGAUUCAUUUAAAAAAUGGCAUCAUUAUCUAAAAGGUACUUCUAAUCUAAUCACUAUUGUCAUGAUAUAAUAUAGCUAAUGAAUGAAAGAAUAAAAAAAAUGUUAUAUUAUAGAAGAUCUUAUUUUAAAAUAUUAUAGAAAAUAUCUUACAAAAUAGAUAAUAGUCAAAAAAAUAUAAAAUUAAAGGAUACUAUUACUCCCUUUUUACAAAAUAGGCUUCUAUUUAUUCUGUAGGACCAUAAAUAAGGCAAAACUAAGUAGAUUAGGAAAUAAAAUGAUAUAGAUAUGUAUAGGAGAGAAUUAAAAGUAAAAUUUUAGCAAAAAUUACCUCAAGAAGCCAAGAAUUGAUAUCCAAAAAGGACCAAUUGUCAACUUGAAUUGAAAUCAGACCUCAAGGCAUAAAACCAUAUACCUAUAGUGACUCCAGGAUUUUUUUGCAGAUUUAAGAAUAAGAUUUGAUAGUUGACUUGAUAAGGUUUCUUUAGACGUUGAUUUUGAUUGAUUUGAGUAUGUAAUGACUUUGUUAAAGCUUAGCAAAGUCACCAUUGUUUUAGGUGAUUCUAAAAUUUGUGAAAUAAAAAAGAUAUUAUGUUUUGGAGUAUUUUGUAAAUUUGGUAGUAAAUAUAUAAUUUAAAUUUUGAGAACUUAUGUGAAUAGUUAUUUGAAAUAUAUGCUAUAAAUUUGAGCUUGAUCAAAUGAUUGAAUCAAAGGUUAUUGAAUUUUAAGUAGGUUGAAAUCUCAGAAAUUAGACUUUGAUGGACAAUUAGGAUUUUUAAGAUCUUCAGCAAUCUAUUAAUUGGAUUGGAGUGAAAUUUAUAUAUAAAGGUAAUAGAAUUGAUUUAUUAUAAAUAUGUGAAUGUUAAAAAUAAUUGAAUGGUAUGAAAAAGAAAUAUUAGUACUAGAAGACCGCCAUCAAGAUUGAAGAAAGAAGCUAGCCAACUUCUAAGCAGAUUUUGAUAUUUUUCUUUUAUUUGCUAGAUGUCCAAUGCAUUUUUAAAUAAGACUUCAUAUAAUAUAACAUUGUAUAUAUGAAUCUGUCACGGCCAUAAUCAUGUAAGCUAAUAAUUACAUAUAGAAAUAGGUAGAAGUAAGUAAAAGUAGAUAAAAGUAAAUUAAUUCUAUAAUAUUUAAUAUAGAAGCUUCCUAGAAACUUCCUAGAUGCUGCUUUGACUUCAUAGGUGUCUUUAAUUGACUUUUUGGAUUAGAAACGUGGUCAACAAGUUGGCCAUGUGCCACACAUGUUGUUAGCUUGAAGAUCAAGCUAACUAUGUGGCUCACACGUAGAAAAACUUACCUUGUAAGUCAAGGCAUGUGUCCUACAAAGUCAACACAUAUUGGAGGUCCUAUAGAACGUCGCCACGUAGCUCCUAGUUAGAUAGUAUAUAUAGAGACAAGAAUGAAGGCUUCUUCACUCUUGUCAACUCCUUUCUUGCUUCUAGUCCAGGUUCAAGAGUCUUUAGUUUCUUGUCUUGUGGCAAUAGCCAUUCCAGUUUCCUUUUAAUAUACCUACUUGUUUAUAUUUUGACUUAUUAUAUCGAGAUAGCCUUUUUGUAUAUUUUCCCUCAUCGAGUCUUUGUCCUUGAUAGAUUGACAAGAGUACACUUACAAUAUCAGAGCUUUGUUUUUCUUGAGUGAGAGUGGAUUACCCCUUUCUCUUGACAAGACAUAAGCGUAUUAGAAGUUUGCGGAUUACCCACUUCUAAACUGAUAUUGUUCUUAGUAUCUUCUUUGUUAUCAAGUCUUUCUUUUCUUUUGUCUUGAGCAGUAUCAAACAAAUUUUUCUUAGUGUCAUUAUGACAGAGCUUGUUGAAAUGAAGAGUGCAAUGGUACAAAUGCAAGAGCAAAUGAGGGAGUUAAUGCUUGCGAUGCAUCAACUCAAUUCACCAACACAUGAAAGAACAAGAAUAGCAAAAAGUGGAGAUAUAGAGAUGAUCGGAGCUGCUUCAACAUCUACAACAAAUCACGUUCCUUCUCCAAUUGUACAACACCCUGUAAGCACUAGAGAACCAAGAAUUGCCUUACCCGAGAAAUUUGAUGGUGUGAGAUCUAAGUUUCGAGGGUUCAUCAAUCAAGUACAAUUGGCAAUUGAACUUCAACCGCAAAGCUAUCCAACUCCAGGAUCACAAGUCAUGUUUAUUGGCACUCUACUUUCUGGUUUUGCAUUAUCAUGGUUUUCGUCUUUUCUUGAACAACGAAAUCCAAUAUUGGACAAUUUGGAAGCUUUUUUGGCGGAGUUUCGAUCUAUGUAUGGUGAACACGAUGCAACUCGUGUUGCAACAAAUAAGAUCCAAAUUCUGCGACAAGGAAAUCGCUCAGUAACAGUGUAUGCUUCACAAUUUUGACAACUUGUAAUUGACAUCAAGUGGGAUGAUGCUGCACUCAUUAGUCAAUUUCUUUAUGGAUUGCAAUACGAAGUAAAGAAAUUGAUGCUCAACUUACCUGAUCCUCAAACUUUGAGUCAAGCAAUCGAUUUUACGGUAAAAUGUGAUAAUCGACUUUUUGAAUUUCGAUCUGAGAAUCAUUCACGGGAACCUCAACGUUAUUACUCAAUGGCAACAUCAACAUCUUUGCCAAACGUACAUUCGGAAGUAAAAGACAUGCAAAUUGACGUGGUACGUUUUAAACCUCUAAUUGAGCAAAAAAAGAUUCGUCGUCGUCAAGAAGGAUUAUGUUUAUAUUGCGGAGAACCUAAGCACACUACUCAACAUUGUCCAAAGAAACGACGCAACUAUAAAAUGAGGGGUACGACGGUCAAAGAAGACAACAUGUCGGGAAACGGAUUCGUCCAGCUACAAUAGGGACCGUGCAGCUGGAACCUUGUACAAUUCCUAAUGAAGGUCCUAUCCUCUCCUCAGAACCCUCUCCUUGUUUUAUAAUAGACUUAUAUUUAGGACCUAAGAAUUACAAAGCCUCUGCUUUAUUAGAUUCGGGAGCCUCAGCAUGUUUUUUAGAUGAACAAUUUGUUAAAAGUCGUAAAAUAUCCUUUGUACAGAAACCUAAACCAGUACAUGUAGAAGUCAUAGAUGGUCGUCCCUUGUCUUCUGGAGAUGUCACUCAUGAAACUCAUCCUAUAAAAGUAACAAUAGACGGUCAUGAUAGCUACAUAGCUUUUAACAUAAUUAAAUCCCCGUCCAAUCCAGUUAUUUUAGGUUUAUCCUGGCUAGAAAAAUAUUACCCUCGAAUAGAUUGGAAUUCGCAUAAACUUGACUUUUCCCAGAGCGUUAUUAAUAGUUCUACUAACCAAGUAAAAAAUUAUAAGUCUAGUAUAGUAAAACCCGCACUGAUAGGUGCAAAAGCAUUUAUACACGCAGCAAAAGAAGGAUCAACUUUUGCUAUUUAUGCUGCACCUAUUUCUGAAAACGUAAAGACUUCAAGUGGCAUUCCAAGUCAAUAUCAGGAGUAUCAAGACGUUUUUGAGAAAAAGAAUGCAGAUAUUCUUCCUGAGCAUCGUCCAUAUGAUUGUUCAAUCGACCUCAAGGAAGGAACUCAGCCACCAUUUGGACCAAUUUACAGUUUAUCGCAAGAUGAGAUGGCUGAACUCAAGACAUAUAUUGACGAGAAUUUAGCGAAGAAUUUCAUACGCCAUUCAAAAUCUCCAGCAGGAGCUCCAAUUCUAUUCAUAAAGAAAAAAGAUGGAUCUUUACGAAUGUGUGUUGAUUAUCGAGGACUCAACAAGAUCACAAUCAAGAACAGGUAUCCAUUACCUUUGAUAUCAGGACUCCUUGACCAGUUGAAUCAAGCUAAGAUCUAAGAGGAGCAUAUAAUCUAGUACGGAUCAAAGAAGGAGAUGAAUGGAAGACUGCGUUUCGAACCAGGUAUGGACAUUUCGAAUAUAAUGUCAUGCCCUUUGGACUCACGAAUGCACCAGCUACUUUUCAACAUCUCAUGAAUGAUGUAUUUCGUGAAUUCUUAGACAAUUUUGUCGUCUGCUAUCUAGACGAUAUCCUGAUCUAUUCUAAGAACGACGAAGAAUAUGAAAUACAUGUUCGUCAAGUAUUACAAAAACUUAGAGAUGCAGGAUUGUACGCGAAGAUGGAAAAGUGUGUAUUUCACACUACUCAAGUUGACUUUUUAGGAUACAUCAUUUCAAAUGAUGGUCUCAUGAUGGAUUCUAAGAAAGUCCAAACAAUCAUGGAUUGGAAGAUUCCAAGGACAGUAAGAGAUGUCCAAUGUUUCUUGGGAUUUGCCAAUUACUAUCGGAUCUUCAUCAAAGAUUUCUCACGAGUUGCAGCUCCACUUACACGCUUGACUAGUAAAGAUAAAUUUCAAUGGAAUCAAGAAGCGGAAGCAGCAUUUGAAGCUUUGAAGACAUCGUUUGUUUCUGCACCAGUCUUAUAUCGUGUUGACUUUUCCAAGGCAUUUUUUAUGGAAACAGAUGCAUCAGAUUUUGCCUUGGGUGCAGUUUUAUCACAAAUGGGAACAGAUGACAAACUUCAUCCGAUAGCUUUUCAUUCAAGAAAAUUCUCAGCAGUCGAGAUCAAUUAUGAGAUCCACGAUAAAGAACUUCUUGUGAUCGUGGAUUCCUUUCAAGAAUGGCGUCAUUAUCUAGAAGGCGCUUCUAGUCCAGUCACUGUGUAUACAGAUCACAAGAACCUCGAGUAUUUCAUGUCAGCACGCGUGUUGAAUCGGCGUCAAGCUCAUUGGAGUAUGUCUUUGUCAAGAUUCGAGUUCAUUAUCACUUAUCGGCCAGGAAAAUAACAAGGUUUAUCCGAUGCCCUAUCUAGAUGUUCUUAUUUUGCACCAAAAGAAGGAGAUGCAGCUUUUGAGCAACAAAGAACGGUCCUCUUGAAACUGGAGCAAUUUCAUCUCCGAGCAAUGAAAUCAACAUUGACUGUUGAUUCAAUUUUUCUCAAGCAAAUCCAGUCCAGUAUGUCCUCAGACCCUCUUGUUUAUGAUAUCAAGAAUAAUUCUUCCAAGUCUCAUGAUCCUUCUAAGUUCGAGUUCAAGAAUAAUCUAUUAUAUUUUGAAGGACGCCUAUAUGUUCCAGAAGGAGAAGCACGUUUACGUGUUCUUCAAGCACGUCAUGACUUUCCAGCAGCAGGGCACUUUGGAUAUAAUAAGACUUUGGAACUCAUAUCAAGAGAUUUUUGGUGGCCACAAAUGUGGAAGUCAGUCAAAGACUUUGUACAAUCAUGUGAUAUUUGUUCAAGAUCAAAAAUUCCUCGUCAUCGACCUUACGGACUUCUUCAGCCAUUACCUAUACUAGAACAACCAUGGUCUUCUGUUUCUAUGGAUUUCAUCACAGAUCUUCCAAGCUCAAGAUCUUAUGAUUCUAUAUUUGUGAUAGUAGAUCGUUUCACCAAGAUGGCACAUUUUGUGCCAUGUACAAAAUCUAUCACAGGUGAAGAAACAGCUAAGCUUUUCAUUGAUAAUAUCUAUCGCUAUCAUGGAUUACCUAAAGAUAUCAUAUCAGAUAGGGGAACUCAAUUUGUGUCAAGAUUUUGGAGGACCCUUUUCAAGAUUUUAAAAGUGGACAUAAAGCUAUCUUCGGCUUUCCAUCCUCAAACUGAUGGACAAACAGAGCGAGUAAACCAAGUCUUGGAGCAAUAUUUAAGGUGUACUAUCAACUACCAACAAGAUGAUUGGACAACCCUUCUGCCAUUGGCAGAGUUUGCUUAUAAUAAUACGGUACAUUCUUCCAUGCAACAAACACCUUUCUUUGCCAAUUAUGGCUAUCAUCCACGACUUGAUACUUUUGAUUUUUCAAAAGUUGAUAAUCCUGCAGCAGAAGAUAUGGCAAAUCGGUUGUCAGAGUUACAUGCAAUAAUGAAGACGCAAUUGAAGGAAGCUCAAGAACGACAAAAGAUAAAUACAGAUCUAUAUCGUAAGGAGCAACCACAACUCAAUGUGGGUGAUAAGGUAUGGCUACUUCGUCGCAAUAUCAAGACUACUCGACCUUGUGACAAGUUGGACUAUCGUAGGCUUGGCCCCUUUUCUGUUUCUGAACAGAUCAACCCAGUUGCAUAUCGGUUACAUCUAUCGGAGUCAAUGAAGAUCCAUCCUGUAUUCCACGUGUCUCUUCUUGAACCAUAUAAGACAGUGGAUAUACAAGAAAGAAAACAAAUGCCACCGCCUCCUAUAGAAGUAGAUAAUAAUGAAGAAUUUGAGGUGGAAGAGAUAUUAGACUCAAGGCGGCGCCGAAAUAAGCUGGAAUAUCUUGUUCAUUGGCGCGGAUAUGAUAUUAGUGAACGCACAUGGGAGCCAUCUAGGAAUCUAGCAAAUGCAUCAGCUAAAGUCAAAGUUUUUCAUCAACGACAUCCAUCGAAACCAAGAUCAAAAUCUCUCUUAUAAAAGAGACAAGAUUGAGGCAAGAUAACAUUCAAUUUCCUAUCCUUGUUUGUAACUUCUUUACAUUUGUGACGCUAAUUAGAUGGAGAGCCAACAACCAGCGGAUUCAACUCAAGAACCUUCGUUUGUUGACCUGCCGGACGAGACAUUACGAUUGUCACAACCUUCAAGACGAUGCAAUCGAGAUGAACAUCUUCAAGAACGAUAUGUUCUUCCUCGAAUAGAUGGUGAGAUACAACGCAUUCAGUAUCACGAUUUGGGAAGGGACUCCCGAUGUUUGGUGAUUUUGCUAGAGGUAGGAACAACUCCUGAUGGUGUUCCAAAUAUUCUAUUCGAAGGAAGUUACGAAGGCCUCAACAAUGAUCAAAUAACUGGGUAGUCUUCCCGCCCUGGUAUGGGACACUACCGAUGGUUGAGAGGCCCUAUCAAUCAUCUUCGAAGAGAACAGAGAUCAGAGUAUGUGGCGAAUACAAUUCGUCGCAUCAUAGAUUUCUUCAACAUAUGAUGACCGCUCCUCGUGGAACUCGUCUCUAGAAGGGGGGGUAAUGUCAUGGCCAUAAUCAUGUAAGCUAAUAAUUACAUAUAGAAAUAGGUAGAAGUAAGUAAAAGUAGAUAAAAGUAAAUUAAUUCUAUAAUAUUUAAUAUAGAAGCUUCCUAGAAACUUCCUAGAUGCUGCUUUGACUUCAUAGGUGUCUUUAAUUGACUUUUUGGAUUAGAAACGUGGUCAACAAGUUGGCCAUGUGCCACACAUGUUGUUAGCUUGAAGAUCAAGCUAACUAUGUGGCUCACACGUAGAAAAACUUACCUUGUAAGUCAAGGCAUGUGUCCUACAAAGUCAACACAUAUUGGAGGUCCUAUAGAACGUCGCCACGUAGCUCCUAGUUAGAUAGUAUAUAUAGAGACAAGAAUGAAGGCUUCUUCACUCUUGUCAACUCCUUUCUUGCUUCUAGUCCAGGUUCAAGAGUCUUUAGUUUCUUGUCUUGUGGCAAUAGCCAUUCCAGUUUCCUUUUAAUAUACCUACUUGUUUAUAUUUUGACUUAUUAUAUCGAGAUAGCCUUUUUGUAUAUUUUCCCUCAUCGAGUCUUUGUCCUUGACAGAAUCACAAGUAUUCCAAGUGAUUCAUAUCAAUAAAUAUUUUGAAUAAUUUCUAAGUUUAUUAAAUCAUGUUUAUAUUUAGAUUUGAUUUCAAGAUAACUUAUCAACUCAAAAAAUAAUAAGAUUUAUCAAAUGCUCUUUCUAGAUAUUCUUAUCUUAUACCAAAAAAAAAGAUACAGCUUUUGAUUAAUAAAAUAAAAUUUUCUUAAAGCCAAAGUAUUUUCACCUUCAAGAAAUAAAAUCAAUAUUGACUAAUAAUUCAAUUUUUUUUAAGUAAAUUUAAUCAAGUAUUUUUUUUGAUCAUCUUGUUCAAGGUAUCAAAAAUCAUUCUUUUAAGUCUCAUGAUACUUCAAAGUUUGAGUUUAAAAAUAAUUUAUUCUAUUUAGAAGAAAAAUUAUAUAUUUCAAAAGACAAAGCAUGAUUAUGUUUUUUUUAAGCUCCUCAUGACUUUCUAGCAACCACACAUUUUGGAUACAAUAAGACUUUGGAGUUAAUAUUAUGAAAUUUUUGGCGGUCUCAAAUAUAAAAGGUGGUUAAAAACUUUGUACAAUCAUAUGAUAUUUGUUCAAGUUCAAAAAAUCCUUAUUAUUAACCUAAUAGACUUCUUCAGCCAUUACCUAUUUUAGAUCAACUAUAGUCUUCUAUUUCUAUGGAUUUUAUUACGGAUCUUCUAGUCUCAAGUUUGUAUGAUUCUAUAUUUAUGAUAAUAGACUAUUUUAUUAAGAUGGCAUAUUUUGUACUAUAUAAAAAAUUUAUCAGAAGUAAAAAAAUAACUAAGUUUUUUUUUGAUAACAUCUAUUGCUAUUAUGAAUUAUCUAAGGAUAUUAUAUUAAAUAAAGAUAUUCAAUUUUCAUCAAGAUUUUUAAGAAUCCUUUUUAAGAUUCUAAAUUUGGAUAUAAAGCUCUCUUUGGCUUUUUAUCUUCAAACUAAUAGAUAAAUAAAACAAAUGAAAGAAGUUCUGAAAUAAUAUUUGAGGUAUACCAUCAAUUAUCAUCAAGAUGAUUGGACAACUCUUUUGUCAUUCGUAAAGUUUGCAUAUAAUAAUUUGGUAUAUUUUUCUAUUCAACAAACACCUUUUUUUUUUGCUAAUUAUGGUUAUCAUCUAUAACUUGAUACAUUUGACUUUUCAAAAAUUGAUAAUCUUAUAGCAAAAGUUUUAACAAAUCAUUUGUGAGAGCUACAUGCAAUAAUAAAGGCAUAAUUAAAAGAAACUUAAGAAUGACAAAAGAUCAACAUAGAUGCCUAUUGCAAAGAACAACAAUUCAAUGUAGGUAAUAAGGUAUGAUUAUUUUGUCACAAUAUUAAGACUACUCGUGCUUAUAACAAGUUGGACUAUUAUAGAUUUGGACCUUUAUUUAUUUGUGAAUAAGUCAAAGAUGUUGCUUAUUAAUUAUAUCUAUCGGAUUCUAUAAAGAUCCAUUUUGUAUUCCAUGUAACUUCUUUUGAGCCAUAUAAGAAAAUAAAUAUCUUAGAAAAAAGAAAAAUACCAUCUUCUCUUUGAAAAGUGGAUAAUAAUCAAGAGUUUGAAGUGGAAGAAGUCUUAGAUUCAAAGCAAUACCAAAAUAGGUUGAAAUAUCUUAUUUAUUGAUGUAGAUCUGAUAUUAAUCAAUACACAUGGGAGCUAAGAAAGAAUCUUACAAAUGUAGCAAAGAAAGUUGAGGCUUUUCAUUGACACCAUCCAUCAAAAUCAAGAUGAAGAAUUGCAAGAUUCAUGAAAGAUAAUGAUUGCUCCUUAUGGAAUUCAUCCUUAGAAGAAGAAAUAAUGUCAUGGACAUACACAUUUACUCCAAUAGUUACUUAUAUGAUUAGAUAAAAGUAAAUAAAUAUAAAUUAAUUUCACAAUAUCUUCUAAAGAAGCUUUUUAGAAGCUAUAUAGUUAGAAUUUUGACUUUAUAGGUGUUUGUAGUUAAUUGAUAGGUUAGAAAAUUGAUCAAUAAGCUAAUCAUGUUAGUAACUUAUAAAACAAGUUAACUAUGUGGUGCGCAUAUAGAUAACUUGUCUUGCAAAUUAAGACAUAUGUCUAAUAAAAUCAACAUAUGCUAGAGGUCCUAUAGAAGAUUACCACGUAUCUUCUUAUUAGAGAGUAUAUAUAGAGGCAAGAGUGAAGCCUUCCUAUUCUUGCCAAUGCCUUUUUAGUUCUUAGUUUUGUUUCAAGACUUUUUAGACUUCUUAUCUUUAGCAAGAGCCAUUCCAGUUCAAUAUGUUACCAUCUUUGAAUAAUUUUUUAAUCUUUUCAAGUAACACAAGAGUAUAUUGAGGAUUUCUUUCUUUAAAAUCCAUGUCUUUGAUAAGUAGAACUCAAUUUUAUCAUAGUCUUGAAAACAUUUCUAAAACAUCCUAAAAUAUUUUAAAUAAAUUCUAAAUAAAUUAUAAUUUUUUAUAAUAUUCUUAUUAUGCUAAUAUCAAUUUAAAUUUAUAUUUUUUAUUUCAAUAUUUUUAUAAUAAUAAAAUUAAUCUAAAUCAACGAUUUUUUUUUAUUGAAAUAAGUAAAAAGAUAUAAAAUUCUUCUUUAUAUUUUUUAUUAAUUAUUAUUUAAAAUUAAUAGUUUUUUAUAAAUAAAAUAUAUUAUAAAAAUCUAAUAUAGAUAUUAAUCUCAAUAAUUAACUAUUAAUACUUUAAAAUACUUAAAAAUUCUAAAUCAACUAAGAUAAUUACCUUAAAGAAUUUUUAAGAUUUUAUUUUUGUAAUGUUUUUUAAUAAGAAUUUUUUAAUUUUUUAAUAUUUUUAAAUUAUGAAAAAUACUUAAAUAAUCAAAAAUAUUCUUGAAGCUUAAUAUUUUUAUAAUUAAAUGACUUCAAAUUAUAUUCUUAAUUAAUUUAUCAAUUUAGAUCCAUUAGUAGGAUUUAUAUAAUAUACUUUAAUCCAAUCAUAUUAUUUUUUUUUAAACUUUUGAAUUCUAAAAAUAAGAUAUUUUUAAGUGAUAUUUUAAAUUAGAUGAUUUUUUAAACAAAAUAUAAUGAUUUUAUUAUUACAUUUUUAAAUUUUUUAGAAUACAAAAAAAUAAAUAAAUUAAAAGGUCUAUGUCUUAUAAAUAAAUCAUUACAUAAAAUCUUGUCAAAAAAUUUACAAGAGAAGAUAAAAAAAAUUAUGUAACUUGUGUAUUUUAAUUUUGAAAAGUUAUAAAAUAAAAUGGCUUUAUUUUUUCAACAAUUAAUUGGAAAUCAAGAAAAUUUAAUGGAUGUCUAUAUUAAGAUCUUUUAUGAAAGAAAUUCCAUAAUUUUUAUCAUUUCAAAUUAUAAACAUGUAAAUAGCACGUAAUUGCUUUAAGGCCAAGGUUAUUAAAGAUUUUAUAAUUAAGAUAUGCAAGUAAUAACUAUAAAAAAAAAUAUUAGUAGUAUAUUAAAGACAUCUUAAAAAGAAUACAGAGCUGAAAAUAUAACUUAAUUUUAUUUAAAUUCUUAUUUUUAAUUUUUCUUUUAUAAAAUAAUAUUAUUUUUUAUUCUUUUCAAUCACAUUCUUUAACUUUGGUUAAUUUUCUUCUAUAAAGAAAGAAAUCUAUAAUUAUUUAUUGAAUGUUUCUUGAGAUAAUAAUUUCAUUAAAUUUAGUCCUUAAAACAAUUUAAAAUGGUACAAAUUUUUUUUAUUUCGUACACAAUAGGAUGAAUUAAGUCAUUAUUUUAAUUUUCAAUUAUGUAUAAGUUAAUAAUAUUAUUCUUAAAAAUUGAAUAGCUAAUAUCUUUAAAGAAAUUGGAUUUGUUGAAUUACACAAGCUUGCAAUAACUACCAAUUGGGAUUGGCCAAUUUAUAAAUUUGACAACUUUAGAAUUAUAAGGAUGCAAAAGCUUGCAAUAUUUACUUAUUAAGAUUAGUUAAUUGGUACAUUUGAUAACCUUAGAUUUGACAUUUUAUAUAAGACUGCUACAAUUAUUGAUUGAAAUUGGCCAACUGAUGAAUUUGAUAAACUUAAAAUUAUGAGGAUAUAAAAGCUUACAACAAAUAUUAAUUGAAAUUGAGAAAUUAGUGAGUUUGACAACCUUAGAUUUGUCAAAAUGUGAAAGCUUGUAACAACUAUCAGUUGAGAUUGGCUAACUUGUGAAUUUAACUACUUUAGAUUUAUUGGAUGUAAAAACUUGUAACAACUACUAAUUAAGAUUGACAAGUUGGUAAAUUUAACAAUCAUAUAUACUACUUAUAUCAAUAAACUUAAGUUGAACAUAUCAAUUUAACUUUUUAAUUUUAUUUUCUAUCUUUAAAUAUUUAUAGCUUAUUUAAUUUAAUUUAAAUUUAUAUAUUUUUAAUUUAUUAAAAAAAAAUAUUUCUAAAAAUAUUUUUUUAUUGAAUAAAAAUCAAUUGAAUAGAUUAUAAGUAGUUUUUGGAGUGUGUAAUUAUUUAAUUGUAUUUUUUUAAUUCAAAUAGAUAUUUUUUUUUAAUCAUAAAUUAUAUCUUUCAAUUCAUACCACCAAGUACAAAGAACUUUUAAUUGAAGCUAUGUUGUAAUUUGAGUUGAAGAAUGAAUUUUACACUCACAUCUUGGCAUUAUCAAAAUAUAUAAGUUUGCAAUGGUUAUCAAUUGACAAUGGCUAAUUUAUAAAUUUUUAUUUUUUUCUUGGUUUGAAUAUAUUUAAUUAAUAUUUGAUAUUAAUUAUUACUAUUAUAUUAUAAAAGAAAUAAAUUAAAAUCUUAAGUAAACUUGUAAUCAAUUAAUAUUCUAAUACAAAAGGAUUUAAUUGAAUAUUAAACUCUUUUUUAGAAUAAAAUUAUAAUAUAACAAUAUGUUUUAAAAGAGUCGAAUUAAAAAUAUUAUAGAAAAUUACUUUAAAAACAUAAGUAAAAAUCAAGGAGGUUCUAAAAAUAAUUUAAUUCUAAUUUUUUAUUAUUUAAAAAAAAUUCUAGUUAUUUCAUAGUAUCAUAAAUAAGAUAAAAAAGUAAAUUAGUAAAAAUAAUAUUAUAGUUAUUUUUAGAUAAAAUUAAAAAAUAUAUUUUAUCAAAAAUUACCUAAAAAAAAUUUAGAUUGAUAUUUUAAAAGAAUCAAUCAUGAAUUAGAAUUGAAACCAAAUCCUAAAGCAUAAAAUUGUAAACAUAUGGAAAAUAUAAGAUUUUUUUUAAUGACUUUGUAAGAACUUUGCAAAGUUAAGAUUUUUUUAGGUGGUUUUUUUUAAAUAAAAAAGUGGAAUUUUUUUUUAGGUUUUAUAGAAAAUCUUUUAUUAAAAAUUAUUGAUUUUUAAAAAAAAAAUUAUUAAAAUUUUUUAUAAAAUAAAAAUUGAUCUAAAAAUUAAAUAAAAGAUUAUUAAAUUUUAAGUUGAUUAUGGUCUUAGAAAUUGGAUUUUGAAGAUUAGUAAGAGAUUCUAUGAUUUUGAAAAUUUUGCUCAUUAGAUUGAAAUGGAUUUUUUGUAUGUUGUUAUUAGACUUAUUUUCUAAUAUUUUUUUAAAUUAUUAGAAAAAAUAAAAAAUACAAAAGAAAGUUAUUAAUGUUAGAAGAUUGACAUCAAGAUUGAAGAAGGAUGACAAUCAACAAUCUUAAAUAAAUUUCUAGUAGAUUAGAAGCCUUUUUUUUCCAAAGUAGAAGUUUAAUUUUUUAAAAUAUUUUAUGCUUAUUUAUAAAUAGUAGAUUGAGGAGUAUGAUAGGUUUGAAUUAAAAUAAAUAAUUAAAUUAGUAUUUAUUAUGAAUUUAAAUAUGAUAUAUAUUUUAUUUAAAAUUUGAUUAGAAUUUUAUUAAGAAUUGAUAAGAUUUAUUCAAGAUUUGAUUACAAUUUGAUUAGGAUUUUUUAAGAUUUGAUUAAAAUUUGGAUAGGAUUUAAUUAGAAUUUAUAAGAAUUUGAUUAAGAUUUUUUAAGAUUUACUUAAAAUGUAUGAAGAUUUUAUUAGGAUUUUUUAAAACUGAUUAGGAUUUAGUUAAGAUUUCUUGAAGGUCUUUUAUGUUUUAAUGAUGAUUUCUUAAUAAAAAAUUUAAGAUUUGAUUAUAGUUAUUAAGGAUUAUUUAAGAUUUAUUUGAAAUUAAUUAGAAUGUAAUAAGGUAUUUUAAGUAUUUUUCUAAAAUUGAUAAAGUAUACUUAAUAUAAUUAGAAGAUUAUUUAAAUUAUUUAGUACUAAUAAAGCUUAGAUUACUUUUAAUACUAGCUUUGCAAUGUUGGUUGUGGAUAUAGUGACAAUUGAGAGAAUGGUAGAGCUCUAUUAAUUGUAGUACUAUUAUUGACAUCUUUUACAUGGAUGAUUAAUGGAGGAAAGAAGUCAACAAUCUUUGGCAUCUUUGAGCAAUUUGAAAUAUAUAUUGUUAUAUUAAAGAACGUGGUGAAGAAGCUAUAAUUAUAAUAUUUGCACUUAAAUUUUUUUAACUUGAAUUAAUUAUCUAUAUAUUUAUGAUCAAAAUGCUGUCAAUAGGCAUUCUUCUUAUACCUAACCCUCUUUGAGUUUUUCAACAUCAUUCCUAAAAAAUUAAAUGAUUAUUGCAAUAGGUAAGAUAUGUCAAAUGACAACAAACAAGUGCAAUAAAUUUAGGAUUCUUAUUCAACUUCCUAAAAUAUCCAAAAUUUAUAAAAAAAAAACUUUAUAAAUUAAUCUCAAAUAAAUAUAUAUAUAUAUAUAUAUAUAUAUAUAUAGUUUUAAAAUAUUUUUAUUUUGCCACUUUAAUCAAAAUAAUAUAUAUAUAUAUAUAUAUAUAUAUAUAUAAUUUAAAAUACAACAACUAAAUUAGUUUUGAUUGUAUAAAAUUCUUUUAAGUUGUUUUUUUUAUUUGUCUUGCAAACCAAGUUAAACAUAACCACAAGUUAAAUAAUAAUUAAAUUAUUCUAUUUAAUCAUUUAUUUAUAUAUAAAAUUCAGAAUUAAAAAUAGAUAUUUUAUUUCAAAAUUUUAAAUAGCAAUAUUAAAAAGGUAGAUAUAGAAUAACUAUCUUACUUAUUCACUGAAUAUUCAUAAUGCAAGAAUUUUUGCUAUUGAUUAUACUUAAAGCUUAUCAUUGCUGAAUCAAUUUGUAUAGCAACAUUCUAAUUUCAUAACUUGUGGUUUGCAGAUUUGAUGGUAUAUGUCACGCAUGGUUCAUGCAUGACGUGAAAAUGUCUUCUUCAAUGUCUGGAAAAUCAAACUUUGUAAUGUUGGGUCAUUGAAUUGGAAGAUGUGAUCUAUAAUGACUCAGUGAAUUGAGUUCAUUAAAUUCAAAAAAAUUGUUGUGUGUUAUUUGUUCUAUGAUUUUUUCACAGACAUUUGCAAUGAAAAGAUUUGAACUAAAAGAAUUGUAUGCAAAGAGUUCAGCUUAGAAUCCACAUGUUGCAUCAAGUUUUAAUUUUGAUAAAAUCUACAGAUGAAUGAUUUGAAAAAUACAGAACAAUGCAUGUGUAUGGUUUAUAAGUUUUUUAAAAGGAAAAUUUUCAAUUAUAUCCUUGAAAUAUGUAGAAAUAACAAGAAUAUCCUUAUAUUCUUGAUAAUUAUACAUGUAUCCUUGAGUUUUCUAAAAAUUUCAAAAAUAUCCUUGGACUUAAUAUCUUAUCAAAAUAUUCCAGCUUUAAUCCAUUUAGAGAUCCAAUCUAUGCACCAUAAAAUAUAUAGUAUAGAACUUCUAGGAAUAGGUCCUACAUCCCUCCGUUUAUAUUAAAACUUUGAGCAAAGUUACAUGAUUAUGAAUUCAUUGUUCAAAAUCCAUUGUCACUCAUCUAGAAGAAAGUUGCAUGAAGAGGCCUUUACAAUCACCAUGCUUGAGAUCUCAUGAAAAAUUCUAACAUAUGUAAUGCUACUUGUAGCUUGUAGUGACUACAUUGAGAUAUGCAUCAUUUAAUUGUUAGUCAGACAAAUACUUCAUUUGAAAUUAUAAUUUUUUGAUUUCAUUUAAAGUUCAAAUUGAUCUUAUUGAACAAAACACAACAUACACUUGCAGCAUACAUCUAGUUCAAAUAAAACUAGUGAUAUUAUUGACUUGAGGUAUGAUUUUAUACAAUUGAUUGUAUUCUAUCAUAACAUAGUUGUUAUUAGAUAUAUAUUGGUAGAAAUUUUCACUUUGUGUUCUAGUAUCCUUCUUCUUUGUUGUAAUAACAACCCAAUUUUUGUUUUUGCUUCUUUGUAAGAAGAUAUAAUGAUUCUACCUUGAUAUAUUUGUAAGAAGUUUAUAUGUGUUGUUGUUUUCCUCGAGACAUGCACACAUGAAGACAUACACUCUGGUGUUUCUUUUUGAAUAAAUAUGCUAGAUGAACUAACUUGGAUUGAAUUCCUUCUUGGAGUACUAAAGCAUGUCAAUGUAGAUCUUUACACUGAGAUCAAGCCUAAUGCAUCAACAACUAUGUUAUGAGUGGAUUUAGAUUGCAACUUAUAAGUGGGUCAUCAUUUGUGUUAAGAAUAUUAAAAGUAGAUUUGAAGAGCCUUGGUUUGCAUCAAAUCCUUCAAUUCAUUUGGAUUGAAAUGGAAUUUAGUUUCUGACUAAUCUCUAAGUGUGUUAUUAGAGUAGCUUAUAAAUCGGCUAUUUUAUGAAAUGAGAUUAAAACGGGUGUAAAGAGAUAAGUAUCUUUACAGUGAGAGGGUUGAUUCUUCAGUACUUAAUUGGCUUCAAUUAAUAUUACUAUAUGCCAAAACAUGAAAUUAAGAUUGGAUUUUUUUUAUUCUAAUAUAAGAAGAAAAAGCCUCUUUUUUCAUUAGAAUAAAAAAAAAUCCAAUCUUUUUCUUUUUUUUCUUUAUUUCUUUUUCUUUUGUAAAAGCAUGUUUAUGGUACUACAUUUGUAUAUAUAUUAUGAGGCUUAGAAGUGUUAUAUAUACAUAUAUAUAUAUAUACAUAUAGAUAUAAUUUACACAAAUUAUAAAACACACCGUGUACUAAAGGUUGAAAAUAGUUAUUAAUUAAAUCUGAGCUGCAAAGCACUAUAUUGGUAUUUUUAAUAGCAUUUAUGAUAAACAUAUAUUAUUAAUUUUCCGGAAUUUAUUUUUAGAAUACAGUUACAUUUGAACUUUCAAUAGUAAUAAUGAAAGUACAUAUUUACACGUACUUUCAUAAAUUUUAAGAAAUAAUAAAUACUUGUAAUUUUUUUUUUAUUUCAAAUCAAAAAUCGUACCUGUUUCUUGUACCAUGUAGCCAGAUGGAGCCUAAACGCCACUUAUAGAUUAAAGCAAACGUCAUACAACAGAAGUAAAAACAACAUGAAUAUAUAAUAGCAAAAAAAUUAUUAUUUGAGACCAUUAAUAUAGAUUUAAGUAUUGCACAAAAUUAUGGUAACUCGCAAUUUUGUGGUGGUCUGACUUCUCAAGGUUUUUUUUGAAAAUAAUUUAGCACCAUUACUGCUUAUUGAAAAUAAUUACGAAUAAUAAUAUCGAAGUACAAUACUUUAGUAAGUAUAAUUUAACAACAAAUAAAAAAGAUUUUUUAUUGAACAUAAAAUCAUACACAUGCAAAGAAACUUAUAUAGAGUACAAUUAUUUUACAAAUAUAUAACCAAUUGUUUCUAAAAUUAAAUACAUUUUUUAAUUUUAAUGCUUUAAUUUUAAUGUAAAAAUAAAAUAAAAUAAAAUAUUAUAUUAUCAACUUGUAAAAUGAUUACAUUGUAAAGGUUUUCUUGCUAUACCUCAAAAAAAAUUAAUGAACAUGGCAGUACACAAUCAAACUUUUAUUGUAAUUAAUAAAAAAUCUUAUGUUCUUUGUUGUAAGUUUAUAAUUUAACAGUAGUCAUUUGAUAAUUAAAAAUAUAUAUAUUUUUUAAAUUUAACUCACAAUGUCUUCAUAAUUUGAUUUAAAAUAUAGCAAUUAAGAAUGAAAUUAAAUAUCAGAUUAAGCAGCAUAUUAGCACUGGAACCAAAUUAGAUCCUUGCAUAUUAAGUGAUUAUGCUAUAUACUCUUGCGUUGACUACAUCUAAAUACUCUUUAGCUAUUUUCAUAUCCUUAGUACAAAUGAGAUGCUUUUUUGGAUAGAUAGGUGGAUGUUGUAUGAAGGAUAGUAGAAUUAGAGCAACAUCAAUUUUAUUGUUCCUUGCUUCCCUCCAAUAUUCAAUCGAUGGUAUUGGGAUGAUGGCUAUUGCAUAAAUUGCUUGUUGAGCUUGAGCAGUAUGAAAAUAAGCAAUGUAAUUGACAAUAGAUUAUUGCAUAAAUAGUACAUUGUUAAUUGUAUGUAUACAUGGAAUUUUAGAUAACUGCCAUCAUUUGCAAGUGCAUGUGCAAUUUUGCAAAUUCACAAUAUUAAAUGACUGCCUCGACAUGCAAUAGAAGAUAGUAUUAGAUGAAAGAAUGAUGAAGUAACCUCGUGCAAAUAUUAGUGACCAUUAAAUCUUCUACUAUACAGUAAUUGAAAAUGGUCGAGUAAUUAUGUUAGCAAUAAUAUGUUACUCAUUGUACCAUGCUAUGAGUUGCCAAUGAAUUGUUUUUAGCAUUGGAAUUAACAAAAAUUUAAAGACUUUACAAUAUUUAGAGUGAUGUGGCCAAAUUGAUUUUUGUCAAAUUGUAACAAUGCCUAAUAUUGUAGUCCAAUGCUCAUCAAAUACUCUAUAGCUUCUUCAAAUAGAGUAUAGAUUUUUAAAAAUUUGAUGUUGAAAUCUGAAAUAGUUGGUACUUAUGUUAUUGCCUAAAGAUAUUAUAUAAGCAUUGUAUUCUUGAAUUAUUUUUACAAGUUGUCUACUAAAUGGUACAUACAAAAUGUGUGUUUGCAUGUUGGAAAUGGAAUGUUGAUUGCAUCAAUAAGACCUUUUUGAUGAUCAAACAAAAAUGUGAACUUCAAAAGUUUGGAGUUUAAUGGACUAGAUGUAAGAAUUGUUGUCUUCAGUUUUUGCAAGAACCACAACCAAUUGUCAUUACUUUUAGCAUUCACAAUGCUAAAUGUAAUAGGAAAUAGUUACCUCUCUACAUUGAUUAUUAUAGCUACAAAAAAUACUCUACAAUAUUUAUAUUUUAGAUAGGUGUUGUCUAUGUUAAUCAUGAAUUGACAAUAUUACAAGCCAUAUAAGCUUACAUUAUAAGUAACAAACAAUUGAUAAAAGUAAUUUUCUUCAUCAACUUUUAAUUUUACAUAACUCUCAAGAUUUGUUGUCUUGAUUUGAUGAUAAUACACUUUUAAGUCAUUAAGUUGUCUUGAUAAGUACAAAUUAGCUCAAAAAUUAUUUUUUCUUUUGUACACCAUCUCAUUAAGUAUGAUAUUGUAAUGCCAUUAUUAUAUCAAAUAUAUUUUAAAAUAUCUACAACUUUGUAUUGUGAAAUCUCUUUCAAUUUGUUCUUUAGUUUGCUUUCUACCCAACUAGUCCUUGCAUAUUGGUUGUCUAAGUGCUUAGCACCAAUGUUUGUGUAUAUUGAGACAUAUGUCCUAAUCUCAAAUUCAUUUAAAAAUAUUGAGUGAAACUGUAAUAUAUGAGGUCUCUAUUUGCAAUUGUCAUUGCAACACUUUACAAUAUAUCUUCUUUGCUUAGAUUUGAUAAUAGAUAUUUUAUGAUGCUUGCUAAUUAUAUUUUGAGCUAUGGCUUGCUUCAAUUCAUUACUACUACUACUACUACUACUACUACUAAAAGUAAUAUCUACAAUAAGAGCACUUGUCAUUUUAAAGUAAAAUUUUUUCUUAGCAAAUUUUUCAAAAGACAAAUCUUUUUAAUAUGAAUGUAUCAAUCAAUAAUGGCUUGAUUGAAAUAGAAACUCUAGAGCAUUUAAUUGCAUGAUGUUGCUUCAAUGUGGAAUUGGCUAAUUUAGCUAUAAGAGUUUCAUCUACAUCUAAGUCAACAUAAGGUUAUAAACUUACCUUGUUAGCUCAAAAUUAUAAAUUAUAAGUAUAUUUUUAUCUAGUUCGACUUGAAAUUUGACAUGAUUUCUUAUAAGGAGUUUGUAAGUAAAUGGUGAAAGCUAGUAUGGGCAUACUACUAGCAAAUAUAUUAAUGAAUUUGAAAAUUCUUCAUCAAAGUUGCUAGAAACUAAGAUUUUAGAUAUGUUGUAGGACUGGGUAUGUGUUAACUUGAUAUAGAAGUGACAGUAGUUGCUCCUUUGAAAGUUAUUUAAUAUUAUGAACCUUAACAAAUUUGUAUGAGCUGAUAAACAGAAACUAGCAAUUCGGAGUAGCUACAUAAUGGAUUGGAGUACAAAAUGGGUUGGGAUAGAAAGAAGAAGCAUAAAUUCACCAAUACUUGUAGUUCUAUGCCAUGACUUCAAUUUUGGACAAUUUAAUUGGGAGCACAAUUGUAUGAAGAGACAUCACAAUUGACUUUAAGCACUAGCAGCAGAUUUUUCAUUUUUCUCUUACUAUUUAGAAUAUUUGUGGAAAAAGUGCAUCAUUGGUGAUAUACAAGAUAAGCACAAGUGACUUUUUCCAAAUUUUUUGUGAGCCAAGAGCAACAAUUUUUGAGUCAAGAGCAAUGCUCUUUGUACUAAUGGACGAAACACGUGCAAUAGCUGCAUCCCUAAGAUAACCUCGUUUUUUUUUAAGCCAGUUACAAAUGAAAUUAGAGAACUUGCUAUUGAAAAUCAAAAUCGCAUCUUUUGUUUAUAAUGAAAAACAAUAGGCAAAGGAAUCACGAAGAAAGUAUGAAUCAUGUAAGAAUGAGGGCCUGAGCAAACAAUUCACGGAACAUGCCCUAAUUGAAUAAUGCAAGAAUGAUGUGUGACAUGAGUAUACACACACAUUAACAAAAACAAUUUACAGAAUAAAAUAAAAAGAAAGUCAAAAGAACAAAAUCUGCAACAGAAUAUUUACAAUAAGCACAAUAUUUAAUACUUUAAUCUCUCCUUUUACAAAUAAUCUCUGUUGCCCAAUAAUCAUCCUUAUUACAAAUUGAAAUUCUUGUAUACAGUGAACAAUAACAAUAGACAUGUAGAUAAUCCAAACAUGAAAUAUCACAAACAAACCAAUUGUUAUUGCUGAAUUUGUAUUCAGCAUCCACAAUAAACCAUCUAAGACUUAAUAUUUCUUUUAAAAUUCUAAUACUUGUCUCAAAUGUGAAAAUGAAUCAAACUCACAAAUUUGAACAAAAAGAUAACAAUUAUUUGAGCAUAUUUUAUUAGGAGAUCUUGCAAUUGGUUAGUAAAAGAAUAGCGCACACAACUGCAAAACAUUCAAAAUUAGAUUCAAGUACAAAAUCACAAAGAACAAAAAUCAAACAAAAAUAGAGAAACUCACUCUAUUCUUGAUCAAGCUCCUUCCAAAUGACCCACACACAUUGCCUGUCUUCAUGCAUACACAAUAGAUGUCGAGAGGAGAAGGAGGCGCACCGAAGAUAUCAAAAGGAGGAGAGGCUGAAUAUAUAGAAGGAAGUAGCCUCUCACUGUUUUGUGUUAUAUUUUCCGAUUUCCUCACUAAAAAUAGAAUGCAAUCAAUUGUAUACAGCCCUACCUUGAGUCAACAGUACCACUGGUUUUGUUUAAACUAGAUACGAAUUGCAAGUGUGUUGUAUUUUGUUCAAUAAGAUCAAUUUGAGCUAAAUUGGAUAUACAAGAAUAGGAGCUAGAUCGAUUACAAGAUUAGGAGCUAGAUCGAUGAAACUUGUGAAUGCUUUUGUUGACCAAAAUGCCGAUUUUUGAAUGUUGCGAUCUUCAUUGCGAAAUUAGGGCUGUGACGCAACAUCAGAAGUCUUGCUUAGGGUAUGCUGAGUGACCUCGUAAUUGAAGCCAUGAGGAACUAGCAUCCAAAUUUCUUAAGGAGAGAAGCAUUCUCAGCAAGUUCUUGGUCACCGAAUAUUUGAUUCUGCAUUUAUUGCGACUGCUUACUGCGAACCACACAAGAUUAGUCUAGACUUGUCAUCUCAAUGAUGCCGUUGUGAAAUCAUGCAAACCGCAAGACUUUGAGGUCUGAAUUCCCGCAUUAAGACAGAUUGGAACACUUCAGCAGUGUCAGAAUGAGAGACGUGAGCACGAUUCUCCACAUCAAUCCAUCAAACCACAAAAUUAUUCGCAUCCAACCCCUGACAUUGAUCAGUCAAUUGCUGCGUUGGACGAGGACAACGAAGACUUUGCAGUGCCUUCUUCAAGAGAAAGAGAGUGCAAACGCGUUGAGCAUUCCAUGGGGUGUAAAUCCCCAGAAGGUGCAUAGAAAUAUUCCUAAUUCCGAGCAAUCCGACACAUCCUUUAUUAUCGAACAUACACAACGUGGGUAACUGGCACAAUGACCAGGACUGGCCCUGUGCGUGGUUACGAGUUAUUGAUUGAUUAUUUGCUUGAACUCGAGGUAUCCCCAGCUAAGCACAUUCCGCAAUGUGAAAUUCCUCAACUACAAUCCCAGGUCUUGAUUGAUGAACUUGAUUCAAGGUGAGUCGGUUCAUGUGAGCAACCUCCACACCCUCACAAAGACAGUUAAUGCAGUGCUGUGCACACCAGCUAACAUCCUGGAGGAGGCAUUAAAAUGGAGCUGGAUCUUGCACUGUUUAAGACUCUGCCGAUCAAUACCUGCUGCAGUCGCCACUCUUACGCUUGGGCAUAGUCAGAUCCGCAGUCGCUGUGAUCCAAACGGGUCUCUCUAUAACGACCUAGAGUUGUAGCUGCUGUCGUGCACGAUGAAGUCAGUUCAAGCUAUGGUCGUGUUGCUACUGUUGGCAGCUCUGUUGGAGUGUGUUCAACAUUCAGAGGCAGGUCGAACGAUGCUAACUGUUGGAUCAGAAAAGACUUUGAGCAGCCUGUUGCCUAGCUGCUCGCCUCCUCCUGCCCCAGUGGACGUUCCUUACACUCCCACCACACCUGACACUACCUCUCCCUCCACUCAUGAUACCUACACUCCGACUACUCCGACUACUCCAUCUGAGCCUUCUCCGGUGUAUAGCAGCCCACCUCCCGCUGAUGGAUACUAGCAACCUUGAGCUCUUGCUUCGGCGGUGCACGGCGUGAAAACAAGUGAGUCUCGGUCCUUCAUGUAGAGGGUGAGGUGUUGCACGUAUGUGACAUGGAUAUGAAAUUCUCAGGAUGUUAUAUGUAGUGUAACUGAUCGCCGUUUUGCUCGCGCUUGCAUUAUGGCUAAGGUUGACACAUACGAAUGUAAGCCUCAAACAAAACGUUUCGGUAUGGUGGCUUGCAGGAAUUUUUGCAUCGCACUCGCUUGAUGUGUGACGUGGAAUCUGGUCACCACGACUGGCUUGUAAAAGCACGCCGAAGUUGGAGAAGUUGUUGACGCUGAUCUGGUUUAGUGCAUGGCACCUUUCUUUGUAGAUCCAGAGAGAGUGCCUUCGUUCUAUUCAGAAGGGGUAGCGUACAUUUGUUGCUGGAUUCCUUGUAGGCUAAAGUAAGAUUUUAUUUAAUAUUUGAGCUCAGAAGUAGUAUCUCACAAAAUGCAUACAUCGUUUAGAUCCACUUGUCAUUCAUGUCAAUUUUUCGUGUUUCUAUCACAAUCAUUUCAUAAAGUAAAAUUUGGAGCUCUGUCCCUGUUAUCAUAGAAAUGUUUAGCAUGAUAAAUGAAAUUUCUACCAAGAAAUCACCAAGACCAAUCAAAUCACCAUUAUCCUGGAAAGAGUUCACUUUCUCCGAUCUCAGGAAGUAAUCACGACCAGCUCAUGGACAAAAGCAACUUGCGAGACUCCAGUUUUGAUUGAAGAAUUGAAGACAACAGCAUAGCUCUUGUAUUUGAUAUUGGUAGACAGCGUAUUUGAUAUUGGUAGACACUCUCAGAACCCUAGUUUGGUUGCAUCAUCUAAAUGAACUAUUCAAGCUGCCCGUUUUCCCACUUCAGAAUCCUAGCAGGACUCAAGCUCUAAUACAAUAUCGUAGCGCAUUUAGUAAUUGUAUAUUGUGCAAAUCAAACAGUUCCUACACACGUACACCCACCCUUGAUUAGGAUUAAAUUAAUCAAAGCGAAGCUUCUCAACACCACCUCACCCCACCAUCCACAGGCUGAGAAGCACAUUCUUGACUGUCAUGUCAUGAUUCCAAUUCAUUCAGGUCUUGAAAGACUGCGUGGCCUCCUCCGCUUCCCCUGUAGCCUCUCCCUCGGGCUCUAUCGCCUUGCAAGGCUCUAUGGUGGUCUUGGUGAGCGAACCGGAUUGACGCCUGCUGAAACCCUUCGGUUGGUGACAGCGUUGCAUCUGGCUACCUGGAGCGGAGCACUGCAAACACUGACAGGUUUAGGGGGUUUCACUGUCGAGAGGAAAUAGAGGUCCUCCGUGGAGAGCAUUUCACUACAGGUUUGGGGCCGUCUGCGAGGACUUCUUUACGCCUGCUGCAUUGCUACCAAGACAGGGCCUCCCUCUUGUGCGGUAAAUCACCCGAUAGUUGCACAAGAAAAGAUCAUUUGUACGCCGGCCCGUCCUAACCUCGGCACGCAUGUAGCUAUAAUAAAGCUUAGUACCGUUGAUCCAAGCAUGACCAAAACCUGCCACGAGCUUCGUUUUCACUGUCUAGGCAGCCGCCCAGUUCUCUCUGCAGUGCACUCAUUCACAAGGCGUUGUCGCAUAUGAAUCCGACUCUCUUUCGGAGUGAAGGAAACAGUCACUAACAUAAUACCGAAACAGCGAGCUUUGGGGAUGUGCACCAGCCAGGCCAUAUUCUCAGAAACGAGAAUGCAUGUUCACAGCUUGGCCAACGUAGACGGCGAUGCACGGUCCCCAGUCAUUAAGUCCAUGGUGGGUCGCAGUGUGGGGGUGACGACCAUAAUGGCGCUGCCACGCGCAGAUUACAAGUCGCCGGCCCCCACAGGCAAGCAGGCAGGCCAGGCAAAGCAAACCUGGUUUUGUGGAUUGGGACCUGGUACUCAUGCACUGGAAUGGAAAUGAAAUGGCAAUGAAGUAGAAAUGAGAAAAGGACACUCACUCACUCACUCUCUCAUCCAACUGGGCAGUGCCGAGGUAGGCUGUCCCUCCCUCUUUCCUCUGCUUCCCAGAUAUUUUCUGCUGGCUCGAACAGUCUUGCGUCUGGAAUUUUUUUUAAAAGAGAAUAUAUUUAUCUACAGCUACAAUAAAACCUUAUUUCGAUGAAUAAAAUUGAAAAUAUUAUAAAAAAUUUAACCAAAAUUAGAAUCUAAGCCUAGUCGGAUCCGGCCAAAGCAGCCGCGAAACUCAUAUGAACCAUUCGGCAGAGUUGAAGCAAACAAGUAGGGUAGCUUAUAACCACUCGACCUAAGACCGAGGUUCUCCGGUCUGAUGCAGGCAGUACUAUUGUUUCCUCGGACUUAGAUGGGUAUUCGUACAAUACUCCGAUAAUACUCAAUCGAAAAAAAAAGUAAAAAAUAACAGUAAAGAUGAAAGCAUUGGUAUGCAAGCUCCGCAAAGUCACCACUACCCACAAGCGCCGCAAGGCACCGUCACAGCGUUGUUGCACCACCCCCUGCAUUGCAUGGACUGUAGCUCCGCACCACGCAGCGUACUUCUUGAUCACCAUGCGCCGCGCCCGAUGCUCGCACCCCCACCAAGUCAAAGCAUCGUCUGUCGGCCCAAUUAUUACGUGAUGAAUUAUGAAGUCUGCUCACUGCAUGCUGCGCCGACCAUUACAAGCAACGCUUAUCUACCACAUAGGUUCUGUGCUCUUGCCACUCCACCAGUCGAGGUGCUCUCUGCUCAGUGACUAAGUGCAGGAGUAUUUUGGACCAGUUGCAACGGGAGUGUAAACGCUGUGGUUCGAGCCGACGAAAGUUCAACAGCGUGUAUACGGUGCGAAUGUGUGUAGGGAGUGGUCGGCGCAAUUGCGAAAUGGUGCUUGCCGCGCGUCGAUUUAGAGCAACUAUAAAUUGAGUUGGGUUUUCACCGGGCUACAGAGGGAUUUGUGCUCGGCUACGGAUUCAAUUUUGCAGUCAGUGCAGCGUACGCUGUAGUUAAGGGUUUUGAUAAAACAUCUAUUGAGUACGGAUACUCGCACAAUGAUCAUUAACUCCGUUCAAGAUACAGUAAGUAGACUUUCGGCUCGCGGAGCUGACUACCAGAGAAACUUUUAAAUGUAGACUUGAUACAUUUUAAUAAAGGCCAGUGAAAGCAGUGACAUAGACAGAGAGGUACAAUGAAUCAUAUGUUGCAGCUUCAUUAUAAAUUGCGAAAUAUCAUGAGGUUACACGCCUCCGUAAUUGGAGAGAAGGCAGGAGGAAACCAACGCUGCACUACACUGCAGUCUAUCAACCCCGGCACCACAGGAACUGUGAGAAAAUUACGGGGUCAACAAGCCUAUCCACUUCCCUCAAGACGUCCACCUUAUUCCUCACUGCCUGGGUCAAAACCCUUACACACACUGCCACUGCACGUAACACCCUGGCAAGAACAAACAAAUCCGGAAUAAUUUAUCUCCAUGCUCGCAGCACCUUCAUGGCAAAGGUCGCCAGCUCCCCGCACCAUUUAAUAUGAAAAAAACAUCUCCAAGGGACGAAUGCCAGUGCCUCAUACCAACUCAGCUAUUAUGAAUCCUCUUGAAAAAGGCGCACAGUUGAUAACCUGUUACAUGAGUCAAGAAGACCAUCAGAGAUGGUUAAACGAUCAAGAAAAAAGGACAAUUCCUUGCUCAAUCAAUCGAAUCUCAAUUCAAUAAAAAUCAUGCAUCAGUUCAGGUUGCGAAAUUGGCUCGUACCUCUUACGACAUUGGCAUCUACUCACAAUCACGGACCUCAGUAGCCGCCUGCAGGUGGGCUUCCAGAGGGAGAACCUCCAGAGGGAGAGCCCCCAGAGGGAGUUGGGCUAUAUGGGGGGCUAGAGUAAGAAGGAGAUGAUGGAGUGGUAGGAGAUGAACCAGACGGGGUAGGGCUGUAAGGGGGGCUAGAGUAAGUAGGCGACGACGGGGUAGGAGGAGACGGACCAGAUGGGGUCGGACUGUAUGGGGGACUGGAGUAAGUAGGAGACGAUGGAGUAGAAGGAGAUGGGUCGGAAGGAGUUGGGCUGUAUGGGGGACUCGAGUAAGAUGGAGACGAGGGAGUUGUAGGAGAUGAGCUGGAGGGAGUUGGACUGUAAGGAGGGCUGGAAUAGGUAGGAGAUGACGGAGAAGAACCAGAAGGAGUUGGGCUGUAAGGAGGGCUAGAAUAUGUAGGAGAUGACGGAGAAGGACCUGAAGGAGCAGUAGGAGAUGGACUAGAAGGAGCUGGGCUAUAUGGAGGACUGGAAUAAGUAGGAGAUGAGGGAGUCGUAGGAGAUGAACUGGAAGGAGUCGGGCUGUAUGGAGGACUAGAGUAGGAUGGAGAAGGGGUCACAGGAGACCCACCGGAGGGAGUACCAGGAGAGUAAGGAGGAGAACUGUAGACUGGAGUGGGAGUCACAGGGGAAGGAUCGGAAGCAACUGGGGGAGAAUACGAUGGAGUGUAGGGAGUAGCCGGUGGAUCAGUGGAGGGAGGAGGAGGGCAGAGAGUCAAACUCGGGAUCAAGCUUCCCAGGCCUGAAGACGUGAGAAGCACCCUCGCCUCCGUGUUGACGAUACAAGCGCAGCAGCUUAGAAGAGCUGCGACGAGAAUCAGC
This 58935-nucleotide long non-coding RNA is filed under the name Physcomitrium patens. Its description in RNAcentral is "long non-coding RNA (PPAT_LNC007582)". Lineage: Eukaryota; Viridiplantae; Streptophyta; Bryopsida; Funariales; Funariaceae. The record is from RNAcentral.